Molecule: long non-coding RNA, 84127 nt
Filed under: Triticum aestivum (bread wheat)
Lineage: Eukaryota; Viridiplantae; Streptophyta; Magnoliopsida; Poales; Poaceae
Description: long non-coding RNA (TAES_LNC009586)
Source: RNAcentral
GCAGGAAAAUGGUAAAGGUUCUUCUACCUCCCUAGGCAGGAAAGAAGCAGCCAAUACUUUAGCCGCCGCACACUAUGCCGCCACCGAGAAGUCCAUCAAGAAGGCCGAAACCGCCAAGACACCUGCAAAGGUCGUGGCUGCCAAGCGAGACGCAGCAAAGUCUGUUGACAAUGCAUUAAAGUAUGGUGCCAUCUCUCGGAAAGCAGCCGGUACAAGUUCUUCUACCUCCCCCAAUAGGAAAGAAGGCACCACUGAUGCUGCUAAGAUGUUCACCAAGAAGGCUGAAACCGCUACCACACCUGAAGAGGCCGCGGCUGCCAAGCAAGCUGCAGCCAAGUCUACCGCUGCUGCAUCAAAGUAUGGUGUCAUUUCUCAGCAAGUAGCUGGUACAAGUUCUUCUACCUCCCCUAGCAGGAAAGAAGCUGCCGGUACCUUGGCAGGUGCUCGCAUAGCUGCUGCCGAGAAGUCCAUCAAGAAGGCUGAAACCACCACAAGACCUGAAGAGGCAACAUCCGCUAAGAAGGAUGCCGCGAAAUCCGAGGCUGAUGCAAUGAAGUACGGGGCCAUCUCUCAGCAGGCCGCCGGCAAAAAUGGUGCCUAAGUGGUGCCUUAAACACCUAUUCACACGCAACAUCAUCUACAUACUACCAUGCAUGCAAAAUAGCAGCAUUCAGAUACCACAUUAUGCUAAUUCUCAUGCAUGCACGCUUUGUUUAAACGUUCCCAUUACGAAUCAUGUAUUAAUGUCUUGCUUGUUUUAUUUUUAGUAGUAAGACACGCUUGACUUGCUUUAAAAAAAAUACAACAAUCGACGUAUACAUGUAUUAUCUGAAAAUUAAUAAUAUGAGUUCCACCGCAAUUUGUUUCUUUUUGUCAUAAUUUGGGUGCAAUCAAUGCACACAUCCAAUACACAAAAUUGGACGACUCAAUGUGUUAUGGCUCCAUGGAGCGGCGAAUCAUGUUUUAUUGUCUUGCUUGUUUUACUUUUAGUAGUAAUGUCUUGCUGGUCAAUGUAUUAUGGCUCCAUGGAGCGGCAUAAUGAUAUAUGAUAUAUCUUCACUACUUCAAAAAGAACUUAAGGUUUUGUCAUACAUCUUUCCUUCAUCCAUCCUCCCUACGAAUCCUUCCUGUUUUGAUUUUUUCUCCCAUCUUUGAUUUUUCUCCCCAUUGAUUCUACCUAAAAACCACCUCAAUGUCACAUGUUUACUGUAUAUGUCAAGGCCUCCUUUGGUUCAUAGGGUAGAAAAAACAUAGGAAUAGGAAAGUCAUAGGAAAUGAGAUGACAUGUAUCUCAAAUCCUAUGAUUGGGAAUAGGAAAGGAGAUGCCCUUUGAUUCACAUCAUAGGAUUUUUUCAUUGAAUCUAGGCUAAUGUUUAUUUUCCUAUGAAAUGUGAAGGAGAGGAAGAAUUCCUCCAUAGGAUUAGGAUUCCAUUCCUACAAACCAAAGGACUCUAAAGGAAUUUUUCCUAUAGAAAUCCUAUCCUAUGAAAUUCUUACAAGAUUCCUCCAAAUCAAAGGAGGCCCAAGUGGUUGUGAUGAGACAGUGGCUGGGCACUUCAGAUUUAUUCCCGUAACUGACUGUCAAAUUGAGUCAUCUGUCAUCCUUUCGAUGAUUGUAAGAAAGUUAUAUGUUUAUUGUAUGUGCCAAGUGGUUGUGAUUAUCGUUACCGGCCACAAAGUUAUAUUUUCUUGUCUUAACGAAGGGUUGCAUACAAUGCGUGUAGCUCUUGACGCCUGAUAACCCACAAGUAUAGGGGAUCGCAACAGUUUUUGAGGGUAGAGUAUUCAACACAAAUUUAUAGAUUCGACACAAGGGAGCCAAAGAAUAUUUGUAAGUAUUAACAACUGAGUUGUCAAUUCAACCACACCUGAAGAUUAAUUAUCUGCAGCAAAGUGAUCAGUAGCAUAGUAGUAUGAUAGUUUUGAUAGUAGUAGCAACAUCAACAGUAACGGUAACAGUGGUAGCAAUGGUUUUGUAGCAGUGACAAUAGUAACAGCAGCAGCAGUAACUUAGCAAGAACAAUAUGUACGAAAAUCGUACGCAUUGGAUCGGUGAUUUGUUGGAUGAUAUUCAUCAUGUGACAGUUACAACCUAGGACGAUACGGCACUAGCUCCAGUUCAUAAAUAUAAUGUAGGCAUGUAUUCUAUAAAUAAUCAUACGUGCUUAUGAAAAGAACUUGUAUGACAUCUUUUGUCCUACCCUCCUGUGGCAGCGGGGUCCUAUUGGAAACUAAGGGAUAUUAAGGCCUCCUUUUAAUAGAGAACCAGAAUAAAGCAUUAACACACGUGAAUACAUGAACUCCUCAAACUACGGUCAUCACAGGGAAGUGUCCCGACUAUUGUCACUCCGGGGUUGCCGGAUCAUAACACGUAGUAGGUAACUAUAACUUGCAAGGUUGGAUCUAGAACAUAGAUAUAAUGGUGAUAACAUAAGUCAUAGCAACAUCAAUCAAGAACAUAAUGGAUACUAGGGAUGAAGCCCUAACAAAACUAACUCAAUUACAUGAUGAAUCUCAUCCAACUCCUCACUGACCAGCGAGCCUACGAAGGAAUUACUCACUCCUGGUGGGGAGCAUCAUGGAAUUGGCGAUGGAGAAGGGUUGGUGAUGACGAAGAUCGAAGAUCCCACUCUCUGGAGCCCCAAACGGACUCCAAAUCUAGCCUCCCGAUGAAGAACAGGAGAUGACGGCGGCUCCGUCUUGUGGAUCGUGAUAAUUCUUUCUCCCUGAUUUUUUUCUGGAAAAAUAGGAUUUUAUAGCGUCGGAUUCAGGGCCUGCGGGGCCACCAGGUGGGGACAACCCACCUGGGUGUGCUUGGAGGGGGGGGGGGGCUGGUGGGUUGUGCCCAUCCAGGUGCCCCCCUCCGAUUGUUCUUGGCUCCAGAAAUUCUCUGUAUUUGUAUAAAAAUUCCUCGCAAAGUUUUGUUCCAAUCCGAAAACUUUUAUUUCUGCACAAAAAAAACACCAUGGUAGUUUUGUUGGAAACAACGUCAGUCCGGGUUAGUUUCAUUCAAAUCAUGCAAAUUAGAGUCCAAAACAAGAGGAAAGUGUUAGGAAAAGUAGAUACGACGGAGACGUAUCAACUCCUCCAAGCUUAAACCUUUGCUUGUCCUUAAGCAAUUCAGUUGAUAAACUGAAAGUGAAAAAAAAUUAUGAACUCUUUUGCUCUUGUUUUCAUAAAUAAGCUUAAACAUCACCCAGUGUCGGUGUCGAAACCGGCGGAUCUCGGAUAGGGGGUUCCGAACUAUGCGUCUAGGCGGAUGGUAACAGGAGACAAGGGACACGAUGUUUACCCAGGUUCGGGCCCUCUCGAUGGAGGUAAAACCCUACUCCUGCUUGAUUAAUAUUGAUGAUAUGGGUAGUACAAGAGUAAAUCUACCACGAGAUCAAGGAGGCUAAACCCUAGAAGCUAGCCUAUGGUAUGAUUGUUGUUGUCCUACGGACUAAAACCCUCCGGUUUAUAUAGACACCGGAGAGGGUUAGGGUUACACAGAGUCGGUUACAAUGGUAGGAGACCUACAUAUCCGUAUCACCAAGCUUGCCUUCCACGCCAAGGAAAGUCCCUUCCGGACACGGGACGAAGUCUUCAAUCUUGUAUGUUCAUAGUCCGGGAGUCCGGCUGAAGGUAUCGUCCGGCUAUCCGGACACCCCCUAAUUCAGGACUCCCUCAGAGCCCCCGAACGAGGCUUCAAUGACGACGAGUCCGGCGCGCAAAUUGUCUUCGGCAUUGCAAGGCGGGUUCUCCUUCAAUUUCUGUGUACCUGCUGAAUAAUGUCCGGUUUCUUAUAAAUGUAGCGCUCCUCGGCUUCCACGCCCAAUAAUGGCCGUCUUCCACGUGUCAAAUGAAUACGAAAAGUCUGGGUGUUUUUACAUUCACACCCCCAGCCGCGUAAAUGAGCUGCCUAUUUAAAGGGACGGGGAUUUAGAUCCAAACCACACCUUCUCCUCUCCGCGAGUUUCAUCAGAGCGCAUCCGACAAAGGACCGUUCCAUCAUGGCCAGCGGUCGCAGCUCCUCCUCUCGCCCUUCCAGCCCUCAUCCUGGAGAUUGGGAGAGAUGCUCCGUCCCGCACAUCGAGCUAGUGUCGCUUCGGACCAAAGGGAUUUCUUCCUCCUGCCUAUAUGGUCCCGGUUCGAGCCGGACUUGCCACCUAUAAUGGCGGAGAGCAAGCGGAGAACGCCCCCAAUCCCUCCAAAGGAGAGCGGGUAUGCCUUGUCCCUUAUUUAAUAAGAGGGCUCGGAUUUCCAAUUCAUCCAUUUCUCCGGGGGCUCCUGGAGUUCUACGGCCUCCAGCUGCACAACCUCAUGCCUGUCUCCGUAUUGCAUAUUGCGGGCUUCGUAGCCCUUUGCGAGUUGUUUUUGGGUGUUGAGGCUCAUUUCGCGCUGUGGAAGAGGCUAUUUUGCCUUGUGCCCUGUUCUUAGGAGGGGUCAAUAUAUCAAGUGGGCGGAGCCAAAGUGUGGUGUAUCGCCAGGACCGGAUAUCUAUCCGGAACCCCAAAGAAGGCGUCCGAGGACUGGCCUUCAGAAUGGUUUUAUAUAGAGGACGUCCCGUUGCCGGAUCCUGUUCGGAUCGGCCUCCCUGAGUUCAACAGCGCUCCCCUGAAGAAACGUCUAAGCUGGCACCCACGGAGCCCUCAGAGAGAAAGUGACAAGGACGUUCUUUACCUGAUGGGCCGGAUAAGAUUAUUAGCUCAUUCCGGACUAACCAUGAUCGGAGUCAUGGCCGCAUGCAUCAUGCGAGGGGUGCAACCGCUUCAGUACAGAGGCCACCCCAUGUGGGACUUCAACGGGGAGGAUGAUGCCACCCGUCACGGCCGUAAGGGGCCGGACUCGGCUACCGCUCUAGUAAAGAUCUUGUCCGCUUUGUACAAGGGAGAAGAGGAGGAAUUUCUCCGCGUCAACCCACAGGGUGGAUUUACCAUGUACAAUCCCCCAAGUUGGGUAAGUGGGCAAUUUUACUUGCCCGUCUGUUUUGUAUUCCCAUCAUUAAAUAUAUAGUCUAACGACUUCAACGCAGGAACUGCGCCAGGAAGUAAAGGACAUAAACAGCCCGCCUCCACAGCCUGAGGACCCAGAGUUGUCCCUCGAUCCGGCCUCCGAAGAGGAUCCGGACUUAUCCAUGGAGUUAAUUGAUGGGGUGUUUUAUCAAUUGAGCAAGGACAAUGCCUUGGUGGCCAUUAAGGCCGAUUACCCGGGGCUGCUCCCGGCCUCCCAGGUAACUGAGACCGAAGUCCUAGCACCUCAAAAAGGGAUCCGCCCUCGCGUGUUUUUCAGUUUCCUGACAACAACCGUGUUUUGUAGGGGAGGUUCUUGAGACGGGAGGCCGAGCCUGCGGUGACUAGCCAACGAGGGGCCACAGGGCCCCGUGGGAUGAAAAGAAGUGCAGUCCGGACUGAGGCACCGGCGCAGAGGUAUAGCGCGCCUUCUUAUUCCCAGGUGUUAUUCCUUCAAGGCAUAUUAACACUCGUGCUCUUUUCAGGACAAAAAGACCCCGCCGGACUAUAUCCAGAGAGGCUGCCAAUCGCGCCUCCACCAGCCAGGAUCCAAAGCCUGGUCCGGAGACGGAGGCGAACACGAGGCGCGCACCGGACGCUCCUCCAACAGAUGAUGCGGACAGGCUGUCCGCCACUAAUUCCGAGGUGGAGAGUGCCAUGAACCACAGGCGUCGCCGGACAGUUCUUCGCGACGCUUGUUUCUCCCAAGAGGCAUUGGACGCCUUCAAUUCGGGAGAUGCGUACCUUCGUGCCGCUCAAAAUGGUCUAGCCAGAGCCACGGAGCAAUAUGUAAAAGACAUACGGGUGAGAAAAUUUAAUGGUUAUAUAUAUCAGUAGCCCCCGAGACUUGAAACAGUUAGAAGAACUGAUUUAAGGAUCAUUCAUAAUGCAGGUUCUUGCGGAAAAGAAUACCCAACUGUCCCAGGAGCUAGAAGAGUGCAAAGCCCAACUUGAGGCCGCACUAGCCGCGACAGGGGAGCCCAAGGAGACCCCCUCUGGUAAUAUGUGCUUCAAAAAGAGAAGUAUUUUGUGAAGUGCGGCGUAUGUGCAAAUCUGACGAAUGAAAUUGCAGAUGGCGCCGGAUUAGAUCCGGAAAAGCAACAAAUCCUACGCCAGCUAAAGGCUGGUGAGAGCGUGCUGACAAAGGUGAGGCGGGAGAAGAACGAUCUCCAAUAUGCCAACACCAAGCUGGGCGUUGAACUGAAAGAUGUUUGUGCCCAGUUGUCAGACUCCGCUAAGGAGAAUCAGCGGCUUCGACGCGGCAUAUUUAGUAAGUGCUUAAACGAACUUUGAAUAAAGAGUUCGACAAGGAAGUCGACUAACGGAGUAAUGUCUGUAGGUAUGCUAACAGGUCGUCCUGCAGAGGAGAUGCCCGGUUCUAUGGGUGACCUUCUUCUUGAGCUCUUGCAACUGCACGAGCGAGUUCAACAGGUGAUGCAGGGCGUCGCCCAGGCCUUGUGGCCAUCCAUCUCCAUGCCCGAAGGACUUGGAGAGGUUGCAGAGAAGCUGAAGGGAGCGCGGCGGCGCUUCCGAUUGUGGAAGAUAUCGGCCUGCCGUCAAGGCGCUAGGGAGGCCUGGGCCAUGGUGAAGACGCGGUACACGAAGGCUGACCCAAACCACAUGGCCGAGGUCGGACCUGUGGGGCCCGAUGGGAAGGAGAUCCCUGUAAGCUUAGUAUACGGCCAAGUAGAAUUGCCCGCAAAGUAUUCCCAGCAGGACUGUAAGCUAGACAGCAUGUUAGAUGGUAUUGAAGAGGAAUACAAUUAGUCAUAAUGACUAUGUAAUUUUAAUUGACAUGUGUAAUGCCUUCUAGCCGGAUUGUAGAUCGUUUUUCAUGGCCGACCUUUUUGCUUCGACCUCGGGACCUGACGGUCCGGAGUGUGUCCGAAUACCCUUGCGGUUAUAUAAGAACCGGGGUAUGCAUGGAGACCAGGCGUAGGGGUCAUUAGUGCUUGAACAGACAAGUGCCCGACUAGUUAUGUUAUAUUACAUGGUUAGUAAGAAACAUCUUCCAGGGAGAAUAGUUCCGUUAGGGGUUCCUUUCCCUGGGAGGCAUGCCCUAAAGUGCAUGUCCAUUCUGCGAAAAGAGACGCAGGAAAAAACAUCUGGGGGCGCAUAGAUAAAUAAGUGAAAAAAAUCAUCUUUAGUUCACCGACCGAAUAUUCCCUUAAGGACGCUAGCUUUCGGCUUCACCCAGUCUGAGGUACACAUCGGGCUGACCCGGCAGUAACAAUCGCAGAGGUGCUCCCUUUACCACCUAGCCGAACAAUCGGAAACAUAGGGCUAAGCACAGGAGCCAGGCAACCCAGCUUGGCUAAAACUUAAGUCAUAUCGAUACAUAUGAUGGUGAAUAAAAGGUACAUGCGGAAGUGUGACACAUGUGUUGGGCAUGAAGCCCGUAUAAGCUUCUGUUCAAAGAAGCCCCCAGGUUUAGUGAGCGCGGAUAGCGCGUCACUUGAUGAGCCUUUAAAGGCUAUAAGAGAAAGGAGGGGGAGAAGGAGAAAAUGGAAGACAGAAAAUAUAAAAAAUGGACAGAGGAAGGAGACGAACAUAGAAUCCGGCGCUAGGCAUAGAAUCUUCGGAGACGGGCUGCGUUCCAUGGGUUCGGCUCGAGUCGGUUAUCCGAUGCAUCUCACAGGCGGUACGUUCCACCAGUCAGGACUUGGUCAAUUAUGAAGGGACCUUCCCACUUGGGCUGGAGUUUGUCCUUUUUCUUGUCCGGCAGGCGUAGAACUAGUUCGCCAACAUUGUAAUUUUUGGCCCGUACUUCUCUGCUUUGAUAUCUUCGAGCCUGCUGUUGAUAGAAUGCGGAACGGGCUUUUGCCACGUCACGCUCCUCCUCCAAGGCGUCCAAACUGUCCUGCCGAUCGAGCUCGGCUUCUCUUUCUUCGUACAUGUGCACUCAAGGUGAGUCAUGAAUUAUAUCGCAGGGCAAAACUGCUUCUGCGCCGUACACCAUGAAGAAUGGUGUGUAUCCGGUGGUGCGAUUCGGCGUGGUCCGCAGCCCCCAGAGUACGGAGUCGAGCUCCUCUACCCAGUGCGUGUUAGAUUCCUUAAGGGACCGCACUAAUCUGGGUUUGAUGCCGCUCAUGAUAACACCAUUUGCGUGUUCGACCUGUCCGUUAGUUUGUGGGUGAUAGACGGAAGCAGAAUCGAGCUUGAUGCCCAUGUUUUUGCACCAGAGUUUUACCUCAUCGACCGUAAAGUUCGUACCGUUAUCAGUGAUGAUGCUGUGGGGGACGCCGUAACGGUGUACGACCCCGGAUAUAAAGUCUAUCACUGGUACAGAUUCGGCCGUCUUAAUAGGCUUGGCCUCUAUCCAUUUGGUGAACUUAUCCACCAUGACCAGUAAGUAUUUUUUCUUGUGGGUUCCGCCUUUAAGGGGUCCAACCAUGUCAAGCCCCCAGACCGCGAAGGGCCAAGUGAUGGGGAUAGUUUGGAGGGCGGUGGGUGGCAUAUGGCUUUGGUUUGGCAAAAGCUGGCAACCGACGCAUCGUUGGACUAAGUCCUGAGCGUCUGCCCGGGCCGUUGGCCAAUAAAAGCCUGUACGGAAAGCCUUGCUUACGAGGGACCAAGCUGCGGUGUGAUGACCACCGAGUCCGGCAUGAAUUUCAGCCAGCAAGUUCCGCCCAUCCUCCUCAGAGAUGCACCUUUGAAGGACUCCGGUAGUGCUUUUCUUAUAAAGCUCUCCCUCAUGGACUUUAUAGGCUUUAGAUCGCCGCACUAUGCAGCGUGCCUCAUUUUGGUCUUCUGGGAGUUCCUGCCUAGUAAGAUAGGCUAGGAAUGGUUCUGUCCACGGGGCGAUGACUGCCAUUAUUACGUGGGCUGAAUAUGUGACUUCAUUGGCAGAGUCUCCAAUUAUGUCAGUGUUGGCUAACGUAGCAGAAAUUCAAAAUUUUCCUACGUGUCACCAAGAUCUAUCUAUGCAGAAACCAGCAACGAGGGGAAGGAGAGUGCAUCUACAUACCCUUGUAGAUCGCUAAGCGGAAGCGUUCAAGAGAACGGGGUUGAAGGAGUCGUACUCGUCGUGAUCCAAAUCACCGAUGAUCCUAGUGCCGAACGGACGGCACCUCCGCGUUCAACACACGUACAGCCCGGUGACGUAUCCCACGCCUUGAUCCAGCAAGGAGAGAGGGAGAGGUUGAGGAAGACUCCAUCCAGCAGCAGCACAACGGCGUGGUGGUGGUGGAGGAGCGUGGCAAUCCUGCAGGGCUUCGCCAAGCACCACGGGAGAGGAGGAAGGAGAGAUGCAGGGCUGCAUCAUAUAGAGGAGAGGAACUCGCGUCUUAUGAGCAGCCCAAACCUCAACUAUAUAUAGGGGAAGGGGAGGGGCUGCGCCCCCUUUAGGGUUUCCACCCCUAGGGGUGGCGGCCAGCCUAGAUCCCAUCUAAGGGAGGCGGCCAAGGGGGAGGGGGAGAGGGAGGCGCACCAGGAUGGGCCUUAGGGCCCAUCUGCCCUAGGGUUUGCCCCCUUCUCCUCUCCCUUGCGCCUUGGGCCCUUGUGGGGGGGCGCACCAGCCCACCUGGGGCUGGUCCCCUUCCACACUUGGCCCAUGAAGCCCUCCGGGGCUGGUGGCCCCACUUGGUGGACCCCCGGGACCCUCCCGGUGGUCCCGGUACGUUACCGAUAAACCCCGAAACUUUUCCGGUGACCAAAACAGGACUUCCCAUAUAUAAAUCUUUACCUCCGGACCAUUCGGGAACUCCUCAUGACGUCCGGGAUCUCAUCCGGGACUCCUAACAACAUUCGGUAACCACAUACAAACUUCCUUUAUAACCCCAGCGUCAUCGAACCUUAAGUGUGUAGACCCUACGGGUUCGGGAGACAUGCAUACAUGACCGAGACGUUCUCCGGUCAAUAACCAACAGCGGGAUCUGGAUACCCAUGUUGGCUCCCACAUGUUCCACGAUGAUCUCAUCGGAUGAACCACGAUGGCAAGGACUUAAUCAAUCCCGUAUACAAUUCCCUUUGUCUAUCUGUACGAUACUCGCCCGAGAUUCGAUCGUCGGUAUCCCGAUACCUUGUUCAAUCUUGUUACCGGCAAGUCUCUUUACUCGUUCCGUAACACAUCAUCCCAUGAUCAACUCCUUGAUCACAUUGUGCACAUUAUGAUGAUGUCCUACCGAGUGGGCCCAGAGAUACCUCUCCGUCACACGGAGUGACAAAUCCCAGUCUCGAUUCGUGCCAACCCAACAGACACUUUCAGAGAUACCCGUAGUGUACCUUUAUAGCCACCCAGUUACGUUGUGACGUUUGGCACACCCAAAGCACUCCUACGGUAACCGGGAGUUGCACAAUCUCAUGGUCUAAGGAAAUGAUACUUGACAUUAGAAAAGCUUUAGCAUACGAACUACUUAGGAUUGGGUCUUGUCCAUCACAUCAUUCUCCUAAUGAUGUGAUCCCGUUAUCAACGACAUCCAAUGUCCAUGGUCAGGAAACCGUAACCAUCUAUUGAUCAACGAGCUAGUCAACUAGAGGCUUACUAGGGACAUGGUGUUGUCUAUGUAUCCACACAUGUAUCUGAGUUUCCUAUCAAUACAAUUCUAACAUGGAUAAUAAACGAUUAUCAUGAACAAGGAAAUAUAAUAAUAAUCAAUUUAUUAUUGCCUCUAGGGCAUAUUUCCAACAGUCUCCCACUUGCACUAGAGUCAAUAAUCCAGUUCACAUCGCUAUGUGACUAACACUCAAGGUCACAUGCCCAUGUGACUAACACCCAAAGAGUUUACUAGAGUCAAUAAUCUAGUUCACAUUUACCAUGUGAUUAACACUCGAUGAGUUCUGGGUUUGAUCAUGUUAUGCUUGUGAGAGAGGUUAUAGUCAACGGGUCUGAACCUUUCAGAUCCGUGUGUGCUUUACAAAUCUCUAUGUCAUCUCCUAGAUGCAGCUACCACGCUCUAUUUGGAGCUAUUCCAAAUAGCUGUUCUACUAUACGAAUCCAGUUUACUACUCAGAAUAAUCUGGAUUAGUGUCAAAGUUUGCAUCGGUGUAACCCUUUACGAUGAACUCUUUUACCACCUCCAUAAUCGAGAAAAUUCCUUAGUCCACUAGUUACUAAGGAUAACUUUGACCGCUGUCCUGUGAUCCAUUCUUGGAUCACUCUUGUACCCCUUGACUGACUCAUGGCAAGGCACACUUCAGGUGCGGUACAUAGCAUAGCAUACUGUAGAGCCUAUGUCUUAAGCAUAGGGGACGACCUUCGUUCUUUCUCUCUAUUCUGCCGUGGUCGAGCUUUAAGUCUUAACUUCAUACCUUACAACUCAGGCAAGAACUCCUUCUUUGACUGAUCCAUCUUGAACACCUUCAAGAUCAUGUCAAGGAAUGUGCUCAUUUGUAAGUACCAUUAAGUGUUUUGAUCUAUCCUUAUAGAUCUUGAUGCUCAAUGUUCAAACAGCUUAAUCCAGGCUUUCCAUUGAAAAAACACUUUCCAAAUAACCCUAUAUGCUUUCCAGAAAUUCUACGUCAUUUCUGAUCAACAAUAUGUCAACAACAUAUAUUCAUCAGAAAUUCUAUAGUGCUCCCACUCACUUCUUUGGAAAUACAAGUUUCUCAUAAACUUCGUAUUCACCCAAAAUCUUUGAUCAUCUCAUCAAAGCAUACAUUCCAACUCGAGAUGCUUACUCCAGUCCUUAGAAGGAUUGCUGGAGCUUUGCAUACUUAUUAGCAUAUUUCAGGAUUGACAAAACCUUCCGGUUGUAUCACAUACAACCUUUCCUCAAAAAUCGUCGAGGAAACAAUGUUUUGACAUCCUAUCUGCAAGAUUUCAUAAAUGAUGCAGUAAUUGCUAAUAUAAUUCCAACAGACUCUUAGCAUCGCUAUGAGUGAGAAAGUCUCAUCGUAGUCAACUCCUUGAACUUGUCGGAAAACAUCUUAAUGACAAGUCGAGCUUUCUUAAUGGUGAUACUUACCAUCAUUGUCCGUCUUCCUUUUAAAAUCCAUAUGUACCUAACAGCCUUACGACCAUCAAGUAGUUCUUCCAAAGUCUACACUUUGUUUUCACAUAUGGAUCCUCUCUCGGAUUAUAUGGCCUUGAGCCAUUUUGGAAUCCAUGCCCACCAUCGCUCCUCCAUAGCUCGUAGGUUCAUCGUUGUCUAGCAACAUGACUUCCAAGACAGGAUUACGUACCAUUCUGAAGCAGUACACAUCCUUGUCAUCCCACGAGGUUUGGUAGUGACUUGAUCUGAAGUUUCAUGAUCACUAUCAUAAGCUUCCACUUCAAUUGGUGUAGGUGCCACAGGAACAACUCCCUGUGCCCUGCCACACACUAGUUGAAGAGAUGGUUCAAUAACCUCAUCAAGUCUCCACCAUCCUCCCACUCAAUUCUUUCGAGAGAAACUUUUCCUCGAGAAAGGACCCGAUUCUAGUAACAAUCCCUUAUUGCUUUCGAAUCUGAGACAGGAGGUAUACCCAACCGUUUUGGGUGUCCUAUGAAGAUGUAUUUAUCCGCUUUGGGUUCGAGCUUAUCGGCCUGAAACUUUUUCACAUAAGCGUCGCAGCCCCAAACUUUUAAGAAAUGACAGCUUAGGUUUCUCUAAACCAUAGUUCAUACGGUGUCAUCUCAUCAGAAUUACGUGGUGCCCUAUUUAAAGUGAAUGUGGUUGUCUCUAAUGCCUAACCCAUAAACUAUUGUGGUAAUUCGAUAAGAGACAUCAUGGUAUGCAUCAUAUCCAAUAGGGUGCAGUUAUGAUGUUCGGACACACCAUCACACUAUGGUGUUCCAGGCUGUAUCAGUUGUGAAACAAUUUCCACAAUGUCUUAAUUCUGUGCCAAACUCGUAAUUCAGAUAUUCAUCUCUAUGAUCAUAUCAUAGAUAUUUUAUCCUCUUGUCACGAUGAUCUUUCAACUUCACCCUGAAAUUACUUGAACCUUUCAAUAAUUCAGACUCGUGAUUCAUCAAGUAAAUAUACUCAACAUCUACUCAAAUCAUCUAUGAAGUAAGAACAUAACGAUAUCCACUACAUGCCUCAGCACUCAUUGGACUGCACACAUCAAAAUGUAUUACUUCCAACAAGUUGCUUUCUAGUUCCAUUUUACUGAAACUGAGGCUUUCAGUCAUCUUGCCCAUGUGGUAUGAUUUGCAUGUCUCAAGUGAUUCAAAAUCAAGUGAGUCCAAAUGGUCCAUUUGCAUGGAGUUUCUUCAUGCAUAUACACCAAUAGACAUGGUUCGCAUGUCUCAAACUUUUCAAAAACGAGUGAUCCCAAAGAUCCAUCAACAUGGAGCUUCUUCAUGCGUUUUAUACCGAUAUGACUUACGUGGCAGUGCCACAAGUAGGUGGUACUAUCAUUACUAUCUUAUAUCUUUUGGCAUGAACAUGUGUAUCACUACGAUCGAGAUUCAAUAAACCAUUCAUUUUAGGUGCAAGACCAUUGAAGGUAUUAUUCAAAUGAACAGAGUAACCAUUAUUCUCCUUAAAUGAAUAGCCGUAUUGCGAUAGACAUAAUCCAAUCAUGUCUAUGCUCAACGCAAACAGCAAAUAACAAUUAUUUAGGUUUAACACCAAUCUCGAUGGUAGAGGGAGCGUGCGAUGCUUGAUCAUAUCAACAUUGGAAACACUUCCAACACAUAUCGUCAGCUCACCUUUAGCUAGUCUCCGUUUAUUCCGUAGCUUUUAUUUCAAGUUACAAACACUUAGCAACCGAACCGGUAUCUAAUACCCUGGUGCUACUAGGAGUACCAGUAAAGUACACAUUAACACAAUGUAUAUCCAAUAUACUUCUAUCGACCUUGCCAGCCUUCUCUUCUACCAAGUAUCUAGGGUAAUUCUGCUCCAGUGGCUGUUCCCCUUAUUACAGAAGCACUUAGUCUCGGGUUUGGGUUCAACCUUGGGUUUCUUCACUAGAGCAGCAGCUGAUUUGCCGUUUCAUGAAGUAUCCCUUCUUGCCCUUGCCCUUCUUGAAACUAGUGGUUUCACCAACCAUCAACAAUUGAUGCUCCUUCUUGAUUUCUACUUUUGUGGUGUCAAACAUCGCGAAUAUCUCAAGGAUCAUCAUAUAUGUCCCUGAUAUAUUAUAGUUCAUCACGAAGCUCUAGCAGCUUGGUGGUAAUGACUUCGGAGAAACAUCACUUUCUCAUCUGGAAGAUCAACUCCCACUCGAUUCAAAUGAUUGUUGUACUCAGACAAUCUGAGCACAAGCUCAACAAUUGAGCUUUUCUCCCUUAGUUUGCAGGCUAAGAAAAUCGUCAGAGGUCUUAUACCUCUUGACGUGGGCACGAGCCUGAAAUCCAAAUUUCAGCCCUCGAAACAUCUCAUAUGCUUCGCGGCGUUUCAAAACGUCUUCGGUGCCUCAACUCUAAACCGUUUAACUAAACUAUCACGUAGUUAUCAAAAUGUGUAUGUCAGAUGUUCGCAACAUCCACAGACAACGUUCGAGGUUCAGCACAUUGAGUGGUGCAUUAAGGACAUAAGCCUUCUAUGAAGCAAUGAGGACAAUCCUCAGUUUACGGACCUAGUCCGCAUAAUUGCUACUAUCAACUUUCAACUAAUUUUUUUCUCUCUAGGAACAUAUCUAAACAGUAGAACUAAAGUGCGAGCUAUGACAUAAUUUGCAAAAUCCUUUUGACUAUGUUGAGGAUAAACAAGUUGAUCUUAUGAACUUCCACUCAGAUAGAUAUCCCUCUAGUCAUCUAAGUGAUUACAUGAUCCGAGUCAACUAGGCCGUGUCCGAUCAUCACGUGAGACGGACUAGUCAUCAUCGGUGAACAUCUUCAUGUUGAUCGUAUCUACCAUACGACUCAUGCUCGACCUUUCGGUCUCUUGUGUUCCGAGGCCAUGUCUGUACAUGCUAGGCUCGUCAAGUCAACCUAAGUGUUUCGGGUGUGUAAAUCUGUCUUACACCCGUUGUAUGUGAACGUUAGAAUCUAUCACACCCGAUCAUCACGUGGUGCUUCGAAACGACGAACUUUCGCAACGGUGCACAGUUAGGGGGAACACUUUCUUGAAAUUUUAAUGAGGGAUCAUCUUAUUUACUACCGUCGUUCUAAGCAAAUAAGAUGUAUAAACAUGAUAAACAUCACUUGCAAUCAAAUAGUGACAUGAUAUGGCCAAUAUCAUAGUGCUCCUUUUGAUCUCCAUCUUCGGGGCUCCAUGAUCAUCAUCACCGGCAUGACACCAUGAUCUCCAUCAUCAUGAUCUCCAUCAUCGUGUCUUCAUGAUGUUGUCUCGCCAACUAUUACUUCUACUACUACAGCUAACGGUUAGCAAUAAAGUAAAGUAAUUACAUGGCGUUGUUUAAUGACAAGCAGGUCAUAUAAUAAAUUAAGAAACUCCUAUGGCUCCUGCCGGUUGUCAUACUCAUCGACAUGCAAGUCGUGAUUCCUAUUACAAGAACAUGAUCAAUCUCAUACAUCACAUAUCAUUCAUCACAUUCUUCUUGGCCAUAUCACAUCACAUAGCAUACCCUGCAAAAACAAGUUAGACGUCCUCUAAUUGUUGUUUGCAUGUUUUACAUGGCUGCUAUGGGUUUCUAGCAAGAACGUUUCUUACCUAGGCAAAACCACAACGUGAUAUGCCAAUUGCUAUUUACCCUUCAUAAGGACCCUUUUCAUCGAAUCCGAUCCGACUAAAGUGGGAGAGACAAACACCCGCCAGCCACCUUAUGCAACUAGUGCAUGUUUGUCGGUGGAACCGGUCUCACGUAAGCGUACGUGUAAGGUUGGUCUGGGCCGCUUCAUCCCACAAUGCCGCCGAAUCAAGAUUGGACUAGUAACGGUAAGCAUAUUGAACAAAAUCAACGCCCACAACUACUUUGUGUUCUACUCGUGCAUAGAAUCUACGCAAUAGACCUAGCUCAUGAUGCCACUGUUGGGUAACGUAGCAGAAAUUCAAAAUUUUCCUACGUGUCACCAAGAUCUAUCUAUGGAGAAACCAGCAACGAGGGGAAGGAGGGUGCAUCUACAUACCCUUGUAGAUCGCUAAGCGGAAGCGUUCAAGAGAACGGGGUUGAAGGAGUCGUACUCGUCGUGAUCCAAAUCACCGAUGAUCCUAGUGCCGAACGGACGGCACCUCCGCGUUCAACACACGUACAGCCCGGUGACGUAUCCCACGCCUUGAUCCAGCAAGGAGAGAGGGAGAGGUUGAGGAAGACUCCAUUCAGCAGCAGCACAACGGCGUGAUGGUGGUGGAGGAGCGUGGCAAUCCUGCAGGGCUUCGCCAAGCACCACGGGAGAGGAGGAAGGAGAGAUGCAGGGCUGCGUCAUAUAGAGGAGAGGAACUCGCGUCUUAUGAGCAGCCCAAACCUCAACUAUAUAUAGGGGAAGGGGAGGGGCUGCGCCCCCUUUAGGGUUUCCACCCCUAGGGGUGGCGGCCAGCCUAGAUCCCAUCUAAGGGAGGCAGCCAAGGGGGAGGGGGAGAGGGAGGCGCACCAGGAUGGGCCUUAGGGCCCAUCUGCCCUAGGGUUUGCCCCCUUCUCCUCUCCCUUGCGCCUUGGGCCCUUGUGGGGGGGGGGGGAGCACCAGCCCACCUGGGGCUGGUCCCCUUCCACACUUGGCCCAUGAAGCCCUCCGGGGCUGGUGGCCCCACUUGGUGGACCCCCGGGACCCUCCCGGUGGUCCCGGUACGUUACCGAUAAACCCCGAAACUUUUCCGGUGACCAAAAUAGGACUUCCCAUAUAUAAAUCUUUACCUCCGGACCAUUCCGGAACUCCUCGUGACGUCCGGGAUCUCACCCGGGACUCCGAACAACAUUCGGUAACCACAUACAAACUUCCUUUAUAACCCUAGAGUCAUCGAACCUUAAGUGUGUAGACCCUAUGGGUUCGGGAGACAUGCAGACAUGACCGAGACGUUCUCCGGUCAAUAACCAACAGCGGGAUCUGGAUACCCAUGUUGGCUCCCACAUGUUCCACGAUGAUCUCAUCGGAUGAACCACGAUGUCAAGGACUUAAUCUAUCCCGUAUACAAUUCCCUUUGUCUAUCGGUACGAUACUCGCCCGAGAUUCGAUCGUCGGUAUCCCGAUACCUUGUUCAAUCUCAUUACCGGCAAGUCUCUUUACUCGUUCCGUAACACAUCAUCCCGUGAUAAACUCCUUGAUCACAUUGUGCACAUUAUGAUGAUGUCCUACCGAGUGGGCCCAGAGAUACCUCUCCGUCACACGGAGUGACAAAUCCCAGUCUCGAUUCGUGCCAACCCAACAGACACUUUCGAAGAUACCCGUAGUGUACCUUUAUAGCCACCCAGUUACGUUGUGACGUUUGGCACACCCAAAGCACUCCUACGGUAACCGGGAGUUGCACAAUCUCAUGGUCUAAGGAAAUGAUACUUGACAUUAGAAAAGCUUUAGCAUACGAACUACACGAUCUAGUGCUAUGCUUAGGAUUGCGUCUUUUCCAUCACAUCAUUCUCCUAAUGAUGUGAUCCCGUUAUCAACGACAUCCAAUGUCCAUGGUCAGGAAACCGUAACCAUCUAUUGAUCAACGAGCUAGUCAACUAGAGGCUUACUAGGGACAUGGUGUUGUCUAUGUAUCCACACAUGUAUCUGAGUUUCCUAUCAAUACAAUUCUAGCAUGGAUAAUAAACGAUUAUCAUGAACAAGGAAAUAUAAUAAUAAUCAAUUUAUUAUUGCCUCUAGGGCAUAUUUCCAACAGUCAGAUUGUUCGGUGUUGGGCAGUGCGGUUGAGUCCGGGCUGUUAUUGCCGGGUUCCCCUUCCCAUACUACGGACGGCUUGAAUAGCCUUUCCAAGAAGAUGUUGGGAGGGACUGCAUCGCGUUUUGCGCCGAUGCGUGCCAGGACAUCCGCCGCCUGAUUAUUUUCCCGGGCUAUAUGGUGAAAUUCGAGCCCUUCGAACCGAGCUGACAUUUUUAAGACGACGUUGCGAUAAGCUGCCAUUUUUGGAUCCUUGGCAUCGAAGUCUCUGUUUAUUUGGGAUAUUGCAAGGUUCGAAUCCCCUCGCACUUCUAGGCGUUGAAUACCCAUGGAUACUGCCAUCUAGAGACCAUGUAAGAGGGCCUCGUAUUCGGCUGCAUUGUUGGAGUCUGUGUACAUAAUCUGGAGUACAUAUUGAACUAUGUCUCCUGUGGGGGACGUCAAAACGACGCCAGCCCCCAGACCGGCCAACAUUUUGGAGCCGUAGAAAUGCAUGAUCCAGUUUUAAUAUGUGCCGUACUCUUUAGGGAGUUCAGCCUCCGUCCAUUCUGUGACGAAGUCAGCCAAAACUUGCGACUUGAUAGCUCGCCGUGGCUUAUAAGUUAUGUCGAACGAGAGGAGCUCGAUGGCCCAUUUCGCAAUCCGGCCCGUUGCGUCGCGGUUGUUUAUAAUAUCGUUUAGUGGUACUUCUGAGGCUACUGUUAUUGAACACUCUUGAAAGUAGUGUCGCAGCUUCCGGGAUGCCAUGAAUACCGCGUACGCAAUCUUUUGAUAAUGCGGGUACCUUGAUUUGCACGGAGUGAGGACAGUGGCCACAUAAUAGACCGGCUUCUGAAGGGGGAAUUUGUGUCCGUCCGUUUCUCGUUCGACGACGAGCACUGCGCUCACAACCUGAUGGGUUGCUGCAAUGUAUAAUAGCAUUGGUUCGCCAAUGUUUGGCGCGGCCAGGACUGGGUUUGUUGCCAAUAUGGCUUUUAUUUUGUCGAGUCCGGCCGUGGCUGCGUCCGUCCACUCGAAGUGUUCGGUGCGCCGAAGGAGGCGGUAAAGGGGGAGUGCCUUUUCUCCCAAGCGGGAGAUAAAGCGGCUUAGAGCCGCCACGCAUCCGGUUUACUUUUGUAUUUGUUUGAGGUCCUUUGGGAUAUCCAAUUGUGACAGAGCUCGGAUCUUGGCUGGAUUUGCUUCAAUUCCUCUACCGAAUACAAUGAAGCCCAAGAGCUUACCGGCUGGAACGCCGAAAACGCAUUUUUCCGGGUUGAGCUUGAUGUCGUAUGUUCGAAGGUUAUCAAAUGUGAGCCUCAAGUCGUCUACUAGGGAUUCAACAUGUCUUGUUUUUACGACCACAUCAUCUACGUAUGCCUCCACUGUUUUGCCGAUCUGGUUUGCCAGACAUGUCUGAAUCAUGCGCUGAUAUGUUGUUUUGAGCCCGAAGGGCAUUGUGUUGAAGCAGAAUGGGCCGUAUGGUGUGAUGAAUGCCGUUGCGGCUUGGUCUGAUUCUGCCAUCUUGAUUUGAUGGUAGCCGGAAUAUGCGUCGAGCAAGCACAACAAAUCGUGUCCUACAGUAGCGUUGAUAAUUUGAUCGAUGCGAGGGAGGGGGAAGGGAUCCUUUGGGCAAGCCUUAUUAAGGUCUUUAAAAUCAACGCACAGGCGCUAGGAUUUGUCCUUCUUUGGUACCAUCACCAGGUUUGCUAGCCAGUUCGGAUGUUUUAUAUCUCUGAUGGAUCCGGCCUCUAAUAGCUUGGCUAGCUCCUCUCCCAUGGCCUGUCUCUUAGGUUCGGAAAAACGCCGAAGAGCCUGUUUGACAGGUUUGAAUCCUUUAGGAUAUUUAAGCUGUGUUCGGCCAGCCUGCGUGGGAUUCCUGGCAUGUCUGAAGGGUGCCAGGCGAAAAUGUCCCAGUUCUCACGUAGGAACUCUCGUAGUGCGGCGUCUACAUCAGGGUUUAAUUGUGCACCGAUGGAAGCUGUUUUAUUGGGGUCCGUUGGAUGGACCUGGAAUUUGACUAUUUCGUCCGCUGGUUUAAAUGAGGUGGACUUGGAUAUUUUGUCGAGUAUCACAUCAUCCCUGUUCACCGUGGAGCGCAGCGCAGUCAGCUCCUCAGCCGCUAGGGCUUCGGAUAGUGCCUCAAGGGCCAGUGCGACUGUCUUAUUUUAGGCGCGGAGUGCUAUGUCCAGAUCACUAGCGAGAGUGAUGAUUCCGUUCGGCCCGGGCAUCUUGAGUUUCAUGUACCCAUAAUGGGGUAUUGCUUGGAAGAUUGUGAACGCUUCCCGCCCUAGCAGAGCAUGGUAUCCGCUACUGAACGGGACCACUUGGAACGUGACCUCCUUGGACCUGUAAUUAUCCGGCGUGCCGAACACCACAUCUAGUGUGAUUUUUCCUGUACAGCACGCUUCCUGACUGGGGAUUAUUCCUCUAAAGGUUGUGCUGCUUCGCUCAAUGCGGUUCCAGUCUAUUUCCAUUUUUUGAAGGGUUUCCUCAUAAAUGAGGUUCAAUCCGCUGCCUCCAUCCAUGAGUACCUUGGUAAGGCGAAAGCCGUCCACUAUUGGACUGAGGACCAAUGUGGCUGGUGCUCGGGCUGUUCGGAAUUUAGGUUCAUCACUGGCAUUAAAAGUAAUAGCCGUGUCACUCCAUGGGUUUAUUGUUGCUACUUGGUAGACUUCGGCAAGGCUGCGGAGUGUUCUUUUUCGCAUAUUAUUUGAUGCGGAAGUCUCGAAGACUGUUAAUACCGUACCGGUAUCCCUGGGGUGGCUUUCUAUGGCCUCCGGAAUUAGGAGAUCUUUGCCAAUUUUGGCCACCUGCCGGAGUAUCCAACAUGCUCUAAGGCUGUGAGUUGGUGUGGCGCCCUCUGUACUGUGAAUUUUACAGGGUCGAUUAAGCCAUCCUUCCAAUACGCUUCCAUGCCCUGUAGAGGAUUUUUGCUUUUUGGUGUUUAACCCGGGUGUCUGGCGAAGAUGCACCCUUUUAUUUUGGACUGGGUUUGUAUUCAGGGCCGGAUUGUCCCAAAAUUUUAUUUUGGUUUUCCAGUCGCUAUCCAUCGCAUAGUACUUUCGUACUAUGGACGCCAAGUCAGCGAAGCAUGUAAUAUCACGGCGACUUAUGGCGUUGAGGAUUCCCUUGUCCGUGCAAUUAUUGCAGAAGAAUGAGAUUGCGUCUUCCUCGCGGCAGUCCUUGAUCCUGUUCAUAGCCAGGAGGAAUCUGGCCCAGUAAUGAUGUACUGUUUCUUCGGGCUUUUGCCUAAUUUGGGAUAGAUCGCUUAUGUUCGGGUGGGUGGGUGGAAUUAAAUCCGAAAACUGACCCGAUAUGAGACUCAGAGGCCAAGGAGUUUCCGAACUCGGAAGUUUGGAUUCUUGGAUGUUGUCCAAUGAGUCUAGCCCGUCGCCUGACUCUAAGUUCAGGUCUUGAGUGAUGUCCUCCCUUCCGCGGGUAUCCGGCUUGGAGGGAUCGGGAAUCCAGACGUAACUAGUCCUUAAGAUAGAUGAAGGGUCGCCGCACUGUCCCUCUACCAUAGCAAUGUGAUGGGUGACCUGGGGAGAGUUAAUCUCUCUUAGAUCGGGUUUAGGCCCAAUCUGGUCAUAAUCCGUGGCGACUCCCAGGGCGGCGAUGCGAUCCAAGAGCUCGUUUAUGGAAGAGAGCUCCAUUGGAUCUAACUGCUCGGCGAGUUCCGAGCUGACAUGAAUACUGCUUUUGAUGACCCGAGAGGUCAUCGUCGGCGCAGCAGCCGAACAGGCGGUCAUAAGAAAACCGCCUAGCCGGAGAGUUUGGCCGACAGCCAAAGCUCCCUUAGCAACGGUUCCGUCUUUAAAGACGGGAUGAGGCAUCCUUCCUGAUGGCGACGGCACAGAGGAACUCUCAAUGAAAGCACCAAUGUCGGUGUCAAAACCGGCGGAUCUCGGGUAGGGGGUCCCGAACUGUGCGUCUAGGCGGAUGGUAACAGGAGACAAGGGACACGAUGUUUACCCAGGUUCGGGCCCUCUCGAUGGAGGUAAAACCCUACUCCUGCUUGAUUAAUAUUGAUGAUAUGGGUAGUACAAGAGUAGAUCUACCACGAGAUCAAGGAGGCUAAACCCUAGAAGCUAGCCUAUGGUAUGAUUGUUGUUGUCCUACGGACUAAAACCCUUCGGUUUAUAUAGACACCAGAGAGGGUUAGGGUUACACAGAGUCGGUUACAAUGGUAGGAGAUCUACAUAUCCGUACCACCAAGCUUGCCUUCCACGCCAAGGAAAGUCCCUUCCGGACAUGGGACGAAGUCUUCAAUCUUGUAUCUUCAUAGUCCGGGAGUCCGGCUGAAGGUAUAGUCCGGCUAUCCAGACACCCCCUAAUCCAGGACUCCCUCACCCAGGUUUUCAGCCAAGAUUAUAACUAACCAUGUCGACAAUAACUCUUAAACAUUAUAUUAACUCUUAUGAGUAGAGGCCGCGGGAAAAAGCCUAGUAGUAGCGCGGAUAAAAGACUAGUAGUAGUGCGGGUGCCCGUGCUACUACUACGGCGCUACAGCUAACUCGUAGUAGUAGCGCAGGUGCCACCCGCGCUACUAGUACGUGUGUUAGUAAUAGCGCGGAUUCUACACACGCUACUAUUAACUAUCUGUAGCGCCUGUCUGUGACCCGCGCUACUACUAUUAAUUUCAAAAACCAAAAAAAAAAUCUCGACCCCGUGCAUGUUGUCAAUGGUGUCAUUGAUUCGAUCCAGCGACAACAAGGGUUGCCGGAGGUGUGGACGGGUAGUGGCAGACCAGAUCCGGCGAUGGCUGUUGGAGAUGGCCGGAUCCAGUGUAGAGCAAGACGACGGUGUGAGGAUCCUCUUCGCGGUCAAGGCGGAGAACUCCUGGUUGGCCAUGUCGACGACCUGUGCAGGCAUGGGCAUGGGAGGUGAGUAAAACCAAAGGGAGAGGGAGAGGAGAGGGAGAGGGAAAAAGAGAAACAAGGGAGAAAGGAGGGAGAUGGAGGGUGUAUCGGGGCUGCAUGGAGGCGAGGAGGAAGACGGGCGAGCUCUUGGAUGCCAGCGAUGCGAGGAGGAAGACGUUGGGUGCCAUGGAGGAGGAGAUAUUCUUGGGCAGGAGCACCAUGGAGAGAGGGGGAAAGUGAGGGAGAGAGGAGGAAAGUGAGAGAGGGGGAAAGUGAGGGAGAGAGGAGGGAUUCGGCCGAGGAUAUGGAGAUUUCACCUACCUCGUACUUAGUAGUAGCGAGGGGUAUAAAACCGCGCUACUACUAUCAACAUAGUAGUAGCAUGGGUUUGUACCCCUCGCUACUACUAUGGCAUGUCCCGGGAGGGCACGGUAGACACCGCUUAGUAGUAGCGAGGGUGAAAAACCCGCGCUAAUAGUAUCAACUUAGUAGUAGCGAGGGGUAAAAACCCGUGCUACUAGUAAGUAGCAGUAGCGACGGUUAUAAACCCGUGCUACUAGUAAGCGUCUGCCUAUAAGCUUUUCCCUAGUAGUGGCAUAUCUAUGACAUAAUCAACUAGCGAGCAAUAAUAAGAUAUCUCAAACAACAACACGUUGUGAAAACAACCAUGAUAUAAUAUGACAAUAGUGGUAUCUCGCUAGCCCUUUCUAAGACCGCAAAACAUAAAUGUAGAGCACCUCCAAAGUUCAAGCAGCGACCAAACAUUGUAAUUCAUGGUAGAAAAGAUCUAGUCAUGAUGCACCCAACAUUAGCAACACAUAGUGCAUCAGCAUGUCAACAGUGCUCUCUGGAUUUGGCACUUAUUUUAGAAGGUGAUGACACAACAUAAAAGUAAAUAGAUAGUCCCUUCGCAGAGGGAAGCAGUGAUUUGCAGCGGUGCCAGAGCUCAAAAUUUAAAAAUAGAGGUAAAUGAAAUUUUGGGAAAUUGAUACGUCUCCAACGUAUCUAUAAUUUUUUAUUGUUCCAUGCUAUAUUAUAUUAUGUUUUGGAUGUUUAAUGGGCUUAUUUAUACACUUUUAUAUUAUUUUUGGGACUAACCUAUUAACCGGAGGCCCAGCCCAUAUUGUUGUUUUUGUUCCUAUUUCAGUGUUUCGCAAAAAAAAGAAUAUCAAACGGAAUGAAACCUUCGGGAACAUGAUUUUUAAAACAAACGUGAUUCAGAGGACUUGGAGUCCAUGUCAAGCAGUCAAUGAGGAGGGCACGAGGCAGGGGGCGCUCCUACCUCCCCCUAGGCGCGCCCUCCACCCUCAUGGGGCCCACGUUGCUCCACCGACGUACUUCUUCCUCCUAUAAUACCUACGUACCCCCAAACCAUCAGGGGCAUCCACGAAAACCUAAUUCCACCGCCGCAACCUUCUGUACACGUGAGAUCCCAUCUUGGGGCCUUUUCCGGCGUCCUGCCGAAGGGGGCAUUGAUCACGGAGGGCUUCUACAUCAACACCAUAGCCACUCCGAUGAUGUGUGAGUAGUUUACCUCAGACUUUCGGGUCCAUAGUUAUUAGCUAGAUGGCUUCUUCUCUCUCUUUGGAUCUCAAUACAAAGUUCUCCACGAUUCUCGUGGAGAUCUAUUCGAUGUAAUCUUCUUUUGCGGUGUGUUUGUUGGGACCGAUGAAUUGUGGAUUUAUGAUCAAGUUUAUCUAUGAACAAUAUUUGAAUAUCCUCUGAAUUCUUUUAUGUAUGAUUGGUUAUCUUUGCAAGUCUCUUCGAAUUAUCAGUUUGGUUUGGCCUACUAGAUUGAUCUUUCUUGCAAUGGGAGAAGUGCCUAGCUUUGGGUUCAAUCUUAUGGUGUCGUUUCCCAGUGACAGCAGGGGCAGCAAGGCACGUAUUGUAUUGUUGCCAUCGAGGAUAACAAGAUGGGGUUUAUAUCAUAUUGCAUGAGUUUAUCUCUCUACAUCAUGUCAUCUUGCUUAAAGCGUUACUCUGUUCUUAUGAACUUAAUACUCUAGAUGCAUGCUGGGUAGCGAUCGAUGUGUGGAGUAAUAGUAGUAGAUGCAGGCAGGAGUCGGUCUACUUGUCACGGACAUGAUGCAUAUAUACAUGAUCAUACCUAGAUAUUCUCAUAACUAUGCUCAAUUCUAUCAAUUGCUCGACAGUAAUUUUUUCACCCACCGUAAUACUUAUGCUUUUGAGAGAAGCCACUAAUGAAACAUAUGGCCCCCGGGUCUAUUUUCCAUCAUAUUAAUCUUCCAACACAUAGCCUUUUCUAUUGCCCUUUUAUUUUACUUUGCAUCUCUAUUUCUCUUUAUCAUAGAAAUACUAAAAAUAUUAUCUUAUCAUAUCUAUCAGAUCUCACUCUCGUUAGUGACCGUGAAGGGAUUGACAACCCCUUUAUCGCGUUGGUUGCGAGGUUCUUAUUUGUUUUGUGUAGGUGCGUGGGACUUGAGCGUGGCCUCCUACUGGAUUGAUACCUUUGUUCUCAAAACUGAGGGAAAUACUUACACUACUUUGCUGCAUCACCUUUUCCUCUUCAAGGGAAAAACCAACGCAGUGCUCAAGAGGUAGCAAGAAAGAUUUCUGGCGCCGUUGCCGGGAGUUUACGCAAAAGUCAACAUACCAAGUACCCAUCACAAACUCUUAUCCCUUGCAUUACAUUAUUUGCCAUUUGCCUCUCGUUUUCCUCUCCCUCACUUCACCCUUGCCGUUUUGUUCGCCCUCUCUUCCGCUCACCUUUCCUUCGCCAUGUCGGAACCAAAAAGAGUUGGGGGUUCUCUCCCGAGUUUUAGUACUUUGGACGAUCCUUCUAUUCUAUCUAAACUCAUAAAUAAUGUCAUGGUAAAACCUGCCGGAGUUGUCAAUGAGAGUCUUAAUAAUUUUGAUGAAGAUGAUUCCGGAAUUUUUCGUUAUUUACUCGAUGAAUCUUUGAAAGAUGCUUGGGAUAGACUGUUAAGGAUCCGGGCUAACUAUGUGCCCCAAUACCAAAUUGAAGUUUACUUGAAGAGCUUUUAUGUUGCCCUACCUUCUUCGUUUAAGCAUGUCUUAGAUUCUAUAUUUGAAGAAGACUUUCUUGAAGGGGAUGCCGUAGAUACUUAUGAAAAGAUGAAAACCAUAUUUGGGCACCCCAUGAAUGAGAAAAUUAAAUCUACAUCUCUUUUGCUCUCCAGUCCUUGGUUCAUGUAAAUCUGAAUCUAGCCGGCACUACCCCUUCACAAGCUGUUGCAUAGUCUUCAGCGAGGUGCGGCGCAACUUCCGUGUGAGGGGAAAUGAACUUCUCCACGAAUACCUUCUCUCUCACCUUGAAAGCGGUAUAGUAGUAGCCUGGGUUGCACUUGAGCAAUCCAUUUUCCAUGAGAAACUUUACAACGUAGUACCUGGGUUUCAUCCAGCCCUCCAGCUGUAAUUGAUAAUUACUGACCGUUGAGCAAUGUAGGUAGGUUCCAACCCCACCUCAGAGAUGAGGAAAUCAGACCUGCGCUGCAGUAAUUCCUUUGACUUCCUCAGCAGACACGGAGCGUUACGCACAACAAUGCUCACCUCAGCGUCUGACCACCUGAACAUCUUCUUCAAGUAGGCCACAUUGGCGGCGAUCUUCUCCUCGCUGAGGAAUCUGACAGCAUCCAACGUGUGUCUGAACAUCCUGAGCCACGAGGCAUGCCAAGGCCUUCGGCGCAUGCCACCAUCGCCCUGACGCGUUCUGGCUUGUUGCUCAGGACACCCCGCGCGCGGAGGGACAAUUUGGUGAUAUCGCAAUCAUCUAGCCCGCAUUGCCGUAGGAGCGCGACGUUGGGUUUGACCAUCCCGUCGAUGUCAGCGCCGGCGAGGUAGCCUUGCUUGAGCACCCGGAAGAGGUUCUCCGAGGAGCUGAAUAGGAGCAGGUAGUACCGCAACUUGGAAACAAUGGACCUGGAACAGAAGUGGGCGAAGGAGAGCGCGACGAGGCGCACGAUCUCAGUACGCGAGAGGCCGAGGCCGGUGAGCCCACGACGACGGGGGCUAGAGUUUUCUCUACUUUGGCGCAGAGGAACAACGGGUCUUUGGCGACGAGGGCGGCGACGUCGGUGCCGGAGAGGCCGAGGCCGGCGAGGAAGGAAAGGACGGCGUCGGGCUUGGACGGAGACUUGAGGUGGGAGAGCUUGGCGGAGGCCUUGAGUGCCUGGGGUCGGGUGAGGCCGCAGGUGGAGACGAGGUAGUCGUCGACGACGAAGCUAGGGUUUGGGGAAACGCCGGGCGCGGCGGCCGCGGAGAGGGGGCGGUGGAGAGGGGGGCCUGAGAGGUGGCGGGGGAAGAGAGGAGCCGCACGAGGAUGCAGCCACGGAGGCGGAGCAUGGCGGCGGUGGCGGCGGAGAGAUUGAUUCCCUAUGGAGGCGGGUGCGAAUGGGAUGGUGCUUCGGAGGCGGGGAUGCGGCGCCCUGGCGAGGCAGGUGAGGAACGGAGGAAGAGAACAGGAGGAGAGAUCGAAGAGGAUGGCACUUCGGCGGCGCCGCCGAAGAGAUUUUCCGGUCCGCUGUGAGUGGAGAGGAAAAAUGGGAAAUGGCAGGUGCGAUGCGAAUGGAGGCUCCGCAAAUUGCAAUAUCACUGAAUCCCAGGGGUCUUUACGUCUUUCAAAAAUACAAACUACAUUUAAAAAACAUACAUAAUACAUUGAGCCUCAUGGAAACUUUCAUAUACACAUGGAAAAUAGAUAUCCCCUCCGUUCAAUAACGUAGUGCGUAUAGAUUUUCGAAAGUCAGACUUUGCAAAAUAUGAUCAAAUUUAUAAAGAAAACUACUUAUACCUACAUUAUCAAAUAUAUAAAAUAUGAACCUACGUCUUGUCUUAUGAUGAACCUAAUGAUAUAUGUUUGACAUCUAGAUGUAAAUGUUUUUCUUCACAAACUUGGUCAAAUUUUGUUAGGUUUGACUUUUCAAAAAAUCUGUAUGCAAUCAUUAUGCAAUCGGUAUAAUAAGGAAAAUGGCUUUGAGAGAUAAGAUUAUAUCACAAAAUAAGUUAUUAUACGACUUGUACUUAUCUUGUGAUUUUUUUGUAGGUAUAGUACUUCCUCCAUUUUUAUUUACUCUGCAUAUUAGAGUUGACUGAAGUCGAACUUCGUAAAGUUUGACCAAGUUUAUAAAAAAUAUAUAAAUAUUUACCCUAACAAAUCUAUAUGAUACGAAAGUACGUUCAAUAAUGAAUAUAAUGGUAUUGAUUUGUUAUUGUACAAGUUAAUAUUUUUGACUAUAAACUUUGUCAAAAUUUAUAAAGCUUGACUUUGACUAAAACUAAUAUGGAGAGUAAAUAAAAACGAAGGGAGUAAAUGGCUAUGCUUUUUUUAUAGGUAGUAAAUGGUUACUUUUUUCCGAUUUUUUUAAAUGGUUAUGCUUGCUAAUCAAUCCAAUCCAAAUUAUAUGUCGCUCAAACAGAUGUAUCUAAUUAAUAUGGAUUGGAUGGAGCAGAAAAGUUCAUACGGAUAUAUAUUUUCUCAAAACUUGAAAGUAUGAUUUCUACAAGUAAAAAAAAUCAUAUGUGAACUAUGUUUGUUUUUAGCAUUUUGUGUGUGUUCAUGUUUUUCUCUCUCUCUCUCUCUCUCUCUCUUCAUUCUAGCCUCUUUUCCCCCACCUCACUCUGUUCUCACAUUGACAUUGUUGCCUUUUUCAACGGACUCCUACUUAUCUUUUCUAAAUUUUGCAAGGUGAGAAUUGAGAAGGUUAUUAUUCUUUAGUUUUAUGUGUAUAGCUAUAUUAGAGUUGAGAUCAAUUGCAUCGUGUCCACAAAUCCUCUAUAACACUAAGCUCCCUAGUUUUAAAAAGCCCACACUCAAUUAAGGUCUCUAAUUAGAAUUGGAUCAUCCAAUUUUGAUCGGGUCUACAAUUUCUCAAAGCUUCACAAUCCAAUUCUUUUAUACUAUACAAUAUGCUUCCUAAUUUUUAAGGCCUCAUAAUUAUUAAGGUAUUUAAUAUAGGUUGAUCAUCCAAUUUUGACUGGGUCAACAAUUUCUCAACCUCUUCAAUUGAAUUUUUUUAAUUCACUAUGUUCCAAAAUUUUGAAUCUCUUUCAUUCAAUUGAGGUAUUCAAUUUUGAUUUGGUUGACGAUUUUGACUGGGCCAAUGAUUUUCAAAUCAAUCAGCUGCAACUGACCUAUAAAAACAUAUCAAUCCCAUGCACCCCUCCCACCACAUAGAAAAAAGAAGCGUCACCAUAUGAUAUUGUAGUAUCAAUAUAGUACAUGCAACCACCGAUGCAGAAAUUUUCCCACAUAAAUAUAGGUUGGUUAGCGGAUGACACAGUCAUCUCCCCACCCGCCUAACUUAAUAUUCCAUCAGUUACUCCCUCCGUUCCACAAUGUAGCGCAUAUAAAUUUUUCUAGAAGUCAAACUUUAUAAACUUUGACCAAGUUUGUAGAGAAAAUCAUAUACAUCUAGAAUACCAAAUACGUGUGCUUAGAUACAUCACAACACAUACUUUCAUAUUAUAUACAUUUGGUAUUGUAGAUAUAAAUAGUUUUCUCUAUAAAAUUGGUCAAAGUUUAUAAAGUUUGACUUUGUAGAAAAUCUAUAUGCGCUACAUUAUGGAACGGAGGGAGUAUAAAAUAUGAAGGGUAUUAAUUUUGUAGAAAGUCAAACUUCUUUAACUUUGACCAACUUCAGAGCAAAAAUAUCAACAUCCACAAUAUUAAACAAAAAAAGUAUGGAAAUUCAUUUCGUGAUGAAUCUAAAAAUACUGAUUUAAUCUUAUGAAUUUUGAUAUAUUUCUCUACAAAUUUGAUGAAACUUAAAAGGUUUGAUUUUAAAAAAUAUAAUACACAUUAUAUUGGGAAACAGAGUGAUUAGUUUUUUAAGAUAUCCAACAACAUGAACGGCGCAGCAAAGCGCGCACAACCCUUCUAGUUAGUAGUAUAUCUAAGAACAAUUGGCAUCCCAUUGAUGAUCGAUCAACCUUCUUAGUCCAGCUAGUGGCUGGUCGUCUAGAGAUCUAUAUGGAGUCAGUUGAGAUGCGAUGGUCAGCCAAGUGGGUUGAUCAAUGCUCCUCUUAAAAUUCGAAGCCUAAAGUAGAUGUGCUACUCGAGAAAUAAAAAGACCAACGUAGACCGUACUAACAUCUAAUAUUUGACGUCACAUUUGAAUUUGAUACUAUUCACAUCCAUAAUUGUCCCUUUGCUCAUCGAAUUAUGAAUCUUAUAUAAAUGUUGUAAAUGAUCAAUUUUAUAAUAAUUUUAGGGUUGUAGUUCGGUGCAUAGGUAGCUCAGAGGAACCAUAGCCGUCACUUCCUCUCCAAAAAAGCUUAGGGUUCCUAUGCGGCCAUGCCUCCCGUGGCGCCGCUGCCGGUCCACCUCGUCUCCGGUGGCCCUAGGGCCAUGGGGACACGGUGGAUCUCAUCCCUUACCAGCGGGAGGGCUUCGUUUUUAAAUAUUUCUUUGAAUUUUGUUAGGGUUGUGUCCUGCUAAAGAGGAUAAGACAACGACGGCUUCGUGAAGAUUGAAUAAGGUUCUUCCCGCCUAGCCCCCGUCUCGAUGGCGCAUCUAACAUCGUCGGAGAGUGUGUGGAGGUGUGUCUCCGGCGGAUCUCACAGGAUUCGGUAGGUGGUUUGUCUUUGGUGGAUCUACUCGGACCCGGUCUUCGUUCGUCUACAUUUGUCUGUCAUUAGAUUGGAUCCUUCCGAUCUAUGGGUCUCAUCAUCGGCGGGGGUUACUAUUCUAUUGCGCUGGUCCUACGAGGCCUUAGCACGACAAGUUCCCGGCUGUCUACUACAAUAAGUUCUGCCCGGCUCCGGCGAGGGAAGGGCGAUGACAACGGCGCGUCUUCGGCUCGCUUUAAUGCUUGUAGUCUUUGCUAGAUGGUCUACGGAUGGAUGCGAUUUUUAUUAUUCCUAUUGUUCAUUGUAUUGUCAUGAUUGAAAAUAAAAAGAUCGAAAGAUUUCUCACAGAUAAGAAGCUCAGAAGAACCAUUAAAAGGACAAUCGUGUGGUCUCCCUAGAUGGUCCUUGGAGGGAGCGAUGUAAUUUCAUUUCCUUUUUAUUGCAUUCUCAUGAAUCUACGGGAUACACAGAUUUGGAAUAGCCAUGCGUUAUAUAGGUUUGGAAAAGAUGAAUGGGCAGGACAAAGCCCAUCAAGGUCCAGAGUUGAACAUGGUAUUUUUCUCUUCCCUGAUCUUGUGUGGUUGUUACAUUACAACGAGGACUAGAUGCAUUCAUUAACCUGAGGAGACUAUAUACGGUGAUUAUAUCGUGGUUAUCAUAUUUACCUAUUUUACAAAGAAUGAUCGGAUAUAAUUUACUGGUACAAUCCAUUGUGUGCCUUUCACGCUUCCGUCAGUUUAGUUUCCUCACACUUUAAGUAGUCUUGUGAAGUUGUGAUCAGGUAGCUCGCAAUCCAAAUUUCUGUAAUGAAUAUUUUUUUUUGGUCCAACGAGUAAAACGUAGACUUGGUGACCCUCAAAAGGGAUGAUAUUUUACAUAACGAGUAAAUCAUGAUGUCCUUAGAUAUUUCUUAUGAGUAUUUCUUCUUUUCUGCGGAAAAGUUUCUUGUCUUCCGAACUCUUGGAUGUGGGCAGAACUCUUGAUGAGCCGAGGCACCCGCAGCAUGCCAUUGUGAGUCAAGUUUGCCAUUGUUUGAUGGGAAGUUUUCAAGUGCUACAUGUAGAAGGACGCUAUAGUGGCUGCAAUCUUGCUGCUAAGUGACACGUACUGUCACCCUGUUUCUAAUGAAAAAAACUGAAGAACAAUGACUCAUUUAAACAUUGUUCAAUUUUGUGGUUCAUGAUGUUGGAAAUAUGCCCUAGAGGCAAUAAUAAAAGUAUUAUUAUAUUUCAAUGUUCAUGAUAAAUGUCUUUUAUUCAUGCUAUAACUGUAUUAUCCGGAAAUCGUAAUACACGUGUGAAUACUUAGACCACAAUAUGUCCCUGGUGAGCCUCUAGUUGACUAGCUCGUUGUGAUCAACAGAUAGUCAUGGUUUCUUGACUAUGGACAUUGGAUGUCGUUGAUAACGGGAUCACAUCAUUAGGAGAAUGAUGUGAUGGACAAGACCCAAUCCUAAGCAUAGCAUAAAAGAUCGUGUAGUUCGUUUUGCUAGAGCUUUGCCAAUGUCAAGUAUCUCUUCCUUCGACCAUGAGAUCGUGUAACUCCCGGAUACCGUAAGAGUGCCUUGGGUGUAUCAAACGUCACAACGUAACUGGGUGACUAUAAAGGUGCAUUACAGGUAUCUCCGAAAGUAUCUGUUGGGUUGACACGGAUCGAGACUGGGAUUUGUCACUCCGUAUGACGGAGAGGUAUCUCUGGGCCCACUCGGUAAUGCAUCAUCAUAAUGAGCUCAAUGUGACCAAGGUGUUGGACACGGGAUCAUGCAUUACGGUACGAGUAAAGUGACUUGCCGGUAACGAGACUGAACAAGGUAUUGGGAUACCGACGAUCGAGUCUCGGGCAAGUAACGUACUGAUUGACAAAGGGAAUUGUAUACAGGGUUUGAUUGAAUCCUUGACAUCGUGGUUCAUCCGAUGACAACAUCGAGGAGCAUGUGGGAGCCAUCAUGGGUAUCCAGAUCCCGCUGUUGGUUAUUGACCUGAGAGCAUCUCGGUCAUGUCUGCAUGUCUCCCGAACCCGUAGGGUCUACACACUUAAGGUUCGGUGACGCUAGGGUUAUUAGGAAGACUAGUAUGUGACUACCGAAUAUUGUUCGGAGUUCCGGAUGGGAUCCUGGACGUCACGAGGAGCUCCGGAAGGGUCCGAAGGUAAAGAUUUAUAUAUGGGAAGUUGUCAAACGGGCACCGGGAAGUUUCGGGGUCAUACCGGUAUUGUACCGGGGCCACCGGAAGGGUUCCGGGGGUCCACCGGGAGGGGCCACCCCUCCCGGGGGGGCACAUGGGCUGCGUGGGGCAGGGAGCCAGCCCCUGGUGGGCUGGGCGCACCCCCUCCCUUGGGCCCUUGCGCCUAGGGUUGAGGGGGGAACCCUAGAGGGGGCGCCCCCUUGGCUUGGGGGGCAAGCCACCCUCUCCCCCUCUCCCCUUGGCCGCCGCACCCCCCUAGAUGGGUUCUAGGGGGCCGGCCCCCUUCUCCCUUCCCCCAACAAAUAGAGGGGUGAGGGGAGGGCAGCCGCACCACCCUCCAAGGCGCAGCCCUCCCCUCCCCAACACCUCUCCUCCUCUGUUGUGUGCUUGGCGAAGCCCUGUCGGAGUACUGCCUCUCCACCAUCACCACGCCGUCGUGCUGCCGGUGGAGCUGUCUUCCUCAACCUCUCCUCCCCCCUUGCUGGAUCAAGAAGGAGGAGACGUCUCCCGUCCCGUACGUGUGUUGAACGCGGAGGUGCUGUCCGUUCAGCACUUGGUCAUCGGUGAUUCGAAUCACGUCGAGUACGAUUCCAUCAUCACCUUGCAAGCUUCCGCACGCGAUCUACAAGUGGUAUGUAGAUGCAAACUCACUCCCUUGACUCGUUGCUUAGAUGAACUCAUAGAUGGAUCUUGGUGAAACCGUAGGAAAAAUUUUAAUUUUCUGCAACGUUCCCCAACAGUGGCAUCAUGAGCCAGGUUUAUGCGUAGUUCUCUUUGCACGAGUAGAACACAAUUUUGUUGUGGGCGUGGAUUUUGUCAUCUUACUUGCCUCUACUAGUCUUUUCUUGCUCAACGGUAUUGUGGGAUGAAGCGGCCCGGACCAACCUUACACGUACGCUUACGUGAGACCGGUUCCACCGAGUGACAUGCACUAGUUGCAUAAGGUGGCUGGCGGGUGUCUGUCUCUCCCACUUUAGUUGGAGCGGAAUCGAUGAACAGGGCCCUUAUGAAGGGUAAAUAGAAGUUGACAAAAUCACGUUGUGGUGAUUCGUAGGUAAGAAAAUGUUCUUGCUAGAACCCAAUUGCAGCCACGUAAAAGAUGCAACAACAAUUAGAGGAUGUCUAACUUGUUUUUGCAGCGAUUGAUCAUGUGAUGUGAUAUGGCCAGAAGUUGUGAUGAAUGAUGAAUUGUGAUGUAUGAGAUCAUGUUCUUUGUAAUAGGAUUCACGACUUGCAUGUCGAUGAGUAUGACAACCGGCAGGAGCCAUAGGAGUUGUCUUUAUUUUUUGUAUGACCUGCAUGUCAUUGAAUAACGCCAUGUAAACUACUUUACUUUAUUGCUAAACGUUAGUCAUAGAAGUAGAAGUAGUCGUUGGCGUGACAACUUCAUGAAGACACGAUGAUGGAGAUCAUGAUGAUGGAGAUCAUGGUGUCAAGCCGGUGACAAGAUGAUCAUGGAGCCCCGAAGAUGAAGAUCAAUGGAGCUAUAUGAUAUUGGCCAUAUCAUGUCACAACUAUAUAAUUGCAUGUGAUGUUUAUUAUGUAUUAUGCAUCUUGUUUACUUAGGACGACGGUAGUAAAUAAGAUGAUCCCUUAUAAAAUUUCAAGAAGUGUUCUCCCCUAACUGUGCACCGUUGCUACAGUUCGUCGCUUCUAAGCAACACGUGAUGAUCGGGUGUGAUGGAUUCUUACGUUCACAUACAACGGGUGUAAGACAGUUUUACACAGCGAAAACACUUAGGGUUAACUUGACGAGCCUAGCAUGUGCAGACAUGGCCUCGGAACACGGAGACCGAAAGGUCGAACACGAAUCGUAUGGAAGAUACGAUCAACAUGAGAAUGUUCACCGACGAUGACUAGUCCGUCUCACGUGAUGAUCGGACACGGGCUAGUCGACUCGGAUCGUGUAACACUUAGAUGACUAGAGGGAUGUCUAAUCUAAGUGGGAGUUCAUAAUUUGAUUAGAACUUUAUUAUCAUGAACUUAGUCUAAAACCUUUGCAAAUAUGUCUUGUAGAUCAAUGGCCAACGCUAAUGUCAACAUGAACUUCAACGCGUUCCUAGAGAAAACCAAGCUGAAAGAUGAUGGCAGCAACUAUACGGACUGGGUCCGGAACCUGAGGAUCAUCCUCAUAGCUGCCAGGAAACAAUAUGUCCUAGAAGGACCGCUAGGUGACGCUCCCGUCGCAGAGAACCAAGACAUUAUGAAUGCUUGGCAGUCUCGUGCUGAUGAUUACUCCCUCGUUCAGUGCGGCAUGCUUUACAGCUUAGAACCGGGGCUCCAAAAGCGUUUUGAGCAUCACGGAGCAUAUGAGAUGUUCGAAGAGCUGAAACUAGUUUUCCAAGCUCAUGCCCGGGUCGAGAGAUAUGAUGUCUCCGACAAGUUCUACAGUUGUAAGAUGGAGGAAAAUAGUUCUGUCAGUGAGCACAUCCUGAAGAUGUCUGGGUUGCACAACCGUAUGACCCAGCUGAACAUUAACCUCCCAGAUGAGGCGGUCAUUGACAGAAUCCUCCAGUCGCUCCCACCAAGCUACAAGAGCUUUGUGAUGAACUACAACAUGCAGGGGAUGGAAAAGACCAUUCCUGAAGUGUUCUCGAUGCUGAAGUCAGCAGAGGCUGAAAUCAAGAAAGAACAUCAAGUGUUGAUGGUCAAUAAGACCACUAAGUUCAAGAAGGGCAAGGGUAAGAAGAACUUCAAGAAGGACGGCAAGGAGGUUGCCGCGCCUGGUAAGCCAGUUACCGGGAAGAAGUCAAAGAAUGGACCUAAGCCUGAGACUGAGUGUUUUUAUUGCAAGGGGAAGGGUCACUGGAAGCGGAACUGCCCCAAAUACUUAGCGGAUAAGAAGGCCGGCAACACCAAAGGUAUAUUUGAUAUACAUGUGAUUGAUGUGUACCUUACUAGUACUCGUAGUAACUCCUGGGUAUUUGAUACCAGUGCCGUUGCUCAUAUUUGUAACUCACAGCAGGAGCUGCGGAAUAAACGGAGACUGGCGAAGGACGAGGUGACGAUGCGCGUCGGGAAUGGUUCCAGAGUCGAUGUGAUCGCCGUCGGCACGCUGCCUCUACAUUUACCUACGGGAUUAGUUUUGAACCUGAAUAAUUGUUAUUUAGUGCCAAGUUUGAGCAUGAACAUUGUAUCUGGAUCUCGUUUAAUACGAGAUGGCUACUCAUUUAAGUCUGAGAAUAAUGGUUGUUCGAUUUAUAUGAGAGAUAUGUUUUAUGGUCAUGCUCCGAUGGUCAAUGGUUUAUUCUUAAUGAAUCUCGAGCGUAAUAUUACACAUGUUCAUAGUGUAGAUGCCAAAAGAUUUAAAGUUGAUAACGAUAGUCCCACAUACUUGUGGCACUGCCGCCUUAGUCACAUUGGUGUCAAGCGCAUGAAGAAGCUCCAUGCCGAUGGACUUUUAGAGUCUCUUGAUUAUGAAUCGUUUGACACGUGCGAACCAUGCCUCUUGGGCAAAAUGACCAAGACUCCGUUCUCCGGAACAAUGGAGCGAGCAACCAACUUGUUGGAAAUCAUACAUACCGAUGUGUGCGGUCCAAUGAGCGUUGAGGCUCGCGGAGGAUAUCGUUAUGUUCUCACUCUCACUGAUGACUUGAGUAGAUAUGGGUAUGUCUACUUAAUGAAACACAAGUCUGAGACCUUUGAAAAGUUCAAAGAAUUUCAGAAUGAGGUAGAGAAUCAACGUGACCGAAAGAUAAAAUUCUUACGAUCAGAUCGUGGAGGAGAAUACUUAAGUCACGAAUUUGGUACACACUUAAGGAAAUGUGGAAUCGUUUCACAACUCACGCCGCCUGGAACACCUCAGCGAAACGGUGUGUCCGAACGUCGUAAUCGCACUCUAUUGGAUAUGGUGCGGUCUAUGAUGUCUCUUACCGAUUUACCGCUAUCAUUUUGGGGAUACGCUCUAGAGACAGCUACAUUCACUUUAAAUAGGGCACCGUCUAAAUCCGUUGAGACGACACCGUAUGAAUUAUGGUUUGGAAAGAAACCUAAGAUGUCGUUUCUAAAAUUUUGGGGAUGCGAUGCUUAUGUCAAGAAACUUCAACCUGAAAAGCUCGAACCCAAGUCGGAAAAAUGCGUAUUCAUAGGAUACCCUAAGGAAACUGUCGGGUAUACCUUCUACUUAAGAUCCGAAGGCAAGAUCUUUGUUGCCAAGAACGGAUGCUUUCUGGAAAAAGAGUUUCUCUCGAAAGAAGUAAGUGGGAGGAAAGUAGAACUCGAUGAAGUACUACCUCUUGAGCGGGAAAGUGGCGCAGCGCAGGAAACCGUUUCUGUGAUGCCCACACCAACUGAAGAGGAAAACAAUGAUGAUGAUCAAGGUACUUCGGAUCAAGUUACUAUUGAACUUCGUAGGUCCACAAGGACACGUUCCGCACCAGAGUGGUACGGCAACCCUGUCCUGGAAAUCAUGUUGUUGGACAACAAUGAACCUUCGAACUAUGAAGAAGCGAUGGCGGGCCCGGAUUCCAACAAAUGGCUUGAAGCCAUGAAAUCCGAGAUAGAAUCCAUGUAUGAAAACAAAGUAUGGACUUUGACAGACUUGCCCGAUGAUCGGCGAGCGAUAGAAAACAAAUGGAUUUUUAAGAAGAAGACGGACGCGGAUGGUAAUGUUACAAUCUAUAAGGCUCGACUUGUCGCUAAGGGUUAUCGACAAGUUCAAGGGAUUGACUACGACGAGACUUUCUCUCCUGUAGCGAAGCUGAAGUCCGUUCGAAUCAUGCUAGCAAUUGCCGCAUACUAUGAUUAUGAGAUAUGGCAGAUGGACGUCAAAACAGCAUUCCUUAACGGGCAUCUUAAGGAAGAACUGUAUAUGAUGCAGCCGGAAGGUUUUGUCGAUCCUCGGAACGCUAACAAAGUAUGCAAGCUCCAGCGAUCCAUUUAUGGACUGGUGCAAGCAUCUCGGAGUUGGAACAUUCGCUUUGAUGAGAUGAUCAAAGCGUUUGGGUUUAUGCAGACUUAUGGAGAAGCCUGCGUUUACAAGAAAGUGAGUGGGAGCUCUGUAGCAUUUCUCAUAUUAUAUGUAGAUGACAUACUCUUGAUGGGAAACAAUAUAGAAUUUCUGGACAGCAUUAAGGCCUACUUGAAUAAGUGUUUUUCAAUGAAGGACCUUGGAGAAGCUGCUUAUAUAUUAGGCAUCAAGAUCUAUAGAGAUAGAUCGAGACGCCUCAUAGGUCUUUCACAAAGCACAUACCUUGAUAAGAUUUUGAAGAGGUUCAAAAUGGAUCAGUCCAAGAAGGGGUUCUUGCCUAUGUUACAAGGUGUGAGAUUGAGCUCGGCUCAGUCACCGACCACGGCAAAAGAUAAAGAAGAGAUGAGUGUCAUCCCCUAUGCUUCAGCCAUAGGAUCUAUUAUGUAUGCCAUGCUGUGUACCAGACCCGAUGUAAACCUUGCCGUAAGUUUGGUAGCAAGAUACCAAAGUAAUCCCGGCAAGGAACACUGGACAGCGGUCAAGAAUAUCCUGAAGUACCUGAAAAGGACGAAGGACAUGUUUCUCGUUUAUGGAGGAGACGAAGAGCUCGUCGUAAAGGGUUACGUCGACGCUAGCUUCGACUCAGAUCUGGAUGACUCUAAGUCACAAACCGGAUACGUGUAUAUGUUGAAUGGUGGAGCAGUAAGCUGGUGCAGCUGCAAGCUGAGCGUCGUGGCGGGAUCUACGUGUGAAGCGGAGUACAUGGCAGCCUCGGAGGCAGCGCAUGAAGCGAUUUGGGUGAAGGAGUUCAUCACCGACCUAGGAGUCAUACCCAAUGCGUCGGGGCCGAUCAAACUCUUCUGUGACAACACUGGAGCUAUUGCCCUCGCCAAGGAGCCCAGGUUUCACAAGAAGACCAGGCACAUCAAGCGUCGUUUCAACUCCAUCCGUGAAAAUGUUCAAGAUGGAGACAUAGAGAUUUGCAAAGUGCACACGGAUCUGAAUGUCGCAGAUCCGCUGACUAAACCUCUCUCGCGUGCAAAACAUGAUCAACACCAGAACUCUAUGGGUGUUCGAUUCAUCACAAUGUAACUAGAUUGGUGACUCUAGUGCAAGUGGGAGACUGUUGGAAAUAUGCCCUAGAGGCAAUAAUAAAAGUAUUAUUAUAUUUCAAUGUUCAUGAUAAAUGUCUUUUAUUCAUGCUAUAACUGUAUUAUCCGGAAAUCGUAAUACACGUGUGAAUACUUAGACCACAAUAUGUCCCUGGUGAGCCUCUAGUUGACUAGCUCGUUGUGAUCAACAGAUAGUCAUGGUUUCCUGACUAUGGACAUUGGAUGUCGUUGAUAACGGGAUCACAUCAUUAGGAGAAUGAUGUGAUGGACAAGACCCAAUCCUAAGCAUAGCAUAAAAGAUCGUGUAGUUCGUUUUGCUAGAGCUUUGCCAAUGUCAAGUAUCUCUUCCUUCGACCAUGAGAUCGUGUAACUCCCGGAUACCGUAAGAGUGCCUUGGGUGUAUCAAACGUCACAACAUAACUGGGUGACUAUAAAGGUGCUUACAGGUAUCUUCGAAAGUAUCUGUUGGGUUGACACGGAUCGAGACUGGGAUUUGUCACUCCGUAUGACGGAGAGGUAUCUCUGGGCCCACUCGGUAAUGCAUCAUCAUAAUGAGCUCAAUGUGACCAAGGUGUUGGACACGGGAUCAUGCAUUACGGUACGAGUAAAGUGACUUGCCGGUAAUGAGACUGAACAAGGUAUUGGGAUACCGACGAUCGAGUCUCGGGCAAGUAACGUACCGAUUGACAAAGGGAAUUGUAUACAGGGUUUGAUCGAAUCCUUGACAUCGUGGUUCAUCCGAUGACAACAUCGAGGAGCAUGUGGGAGCCAUCAUGGGUAUCCAGAUCCCGCUGUUGGUUAUUGACCUGAGAGCGUCUCGGUCAUGUCUGCAUGUCUCCCGAACCCGUAGGGUCUACACACUUAAGGUUCGGUGACGCUAGGGUUAUUAGGAAGACUAGUAUGUGACUACCGAAUGUUGUUCGGAGUCCCGGAUGGGAUCCUGGACGUCACGAGGAGCUCCGGAAGGGUCCGGAGGUAAAGAUUUAUAUAUGGGAAGUUGUCAAACGGGCACCGGGAAGUUUCGGGGUCAUACCGGUAUUGUACCUGGGCCACCGGAAGGGUUCCGGGGGUCCACCGGGAGGGGCCACCCCUCCCGGGGGGGCCACAUGGGCUGCGUGGGGCAGGGAGCCAGCCCCUGGUGGGUUGGGCGCACCCCCUCCUUUGGGCCCUUGCGCCUAGGGUUGAGGGGGGAACCCUAGAGGGGGCGCCCCCUUGGCUUGGGGGGCAAGCCACCCUCUCCCCCUCUCCCCUUGGCCGCCGCACCCCCCUAGAUGGGUUCUAGGGGGCCGGCCCCCUUCUCCCUUCCCCCAAUAAAUAGAGGGGUGAGGGGAGGGCAGCCGCACCACCCUCCAAGGCGCAGCCCUCCCCUCCCCAACACCUCUCCUCCUCCGUUGUGUGCUUGGCGAAGCCCUGUCGGAGUACUGCCUCUCCACCAUCACCACGCCGUCGUGCUGCCGGUGGAGCUGUCUUCCUCAACCUCUCCUUCCCCCUUGCUGGAUCAAGAAGGAGGAGACGUCUCCCGUCCCGUACGUGUGUUGAACGCGGAGGUGCUGUCCGUUCAGCACUUGGUCAUCGGUGAUUCGAAUCACGUCGAGUACGACUCCAUCAUCACCUUGCAAGCUUCCGCACGCGAUCUACAAGUGGUAUGUAGAUGCAAACUCACUCCCUUGACUCGUUGCUUAGAUGAACUCAUAGAUGGAUCUUGGUGAAACCGUAGGAAAAAUUUUAAUUUUCUGCAACGUUCCCCAACACAUGAGCCUUUUCUUCAAAGUUUACUUAAAAGUUGGGUUAUUAGGUAAAAAAUGGUUCCUUUCCUUUUGUGCUUGCAAUUUAUUGUCCUGACAAAAACACUUUUUAUUGCAGUGCUAAGAAAAUGCGUCUACUACUUGACUGAGCUAAAUACUCUUGAUAGCAAACCCUCUCUGGGCAUAUUCGUAGAUUCAAGGUGAGGAGACAUGCCAGCAUACAGACCAGCCUUAAAAAUAGUCAGAUAAACAUUGCAAGAUGUACAUACAUGGCACAUGUACGAUGUUCUAACAAGAGCAUAAAGUUGAUUGAUUCUUGAUAGCAUCACCUGAAUAUAUCACUCACGGAUUCAUGAAUGUUCCCCGUUGCAAUGCACGGCCAUUCACCUAGUAAAGGCAAUGAUUUGUUGGUAGUAGAGGCAUCUCAUGUUUCAAAGGGUUAAACCUUACCGUCGUGACCCGGCUCCAUGGCUGGGUCAAUCUUGCACCUCUGUUGGUGCCGAACCCUAGGCAAAUUCCCCCAAAUCUCUUGUUGUUUCUAUUGAUUGACCGAAUGUGAGGAGCGAUAGUAGAUCAAUAACUCUCGUAUAACCGAGGGAAAAAGAAAUGAAGAGAAGUUGGCGAAAGUAUCAAGUGGUACAUCUACUUUUUAUAAUAUCACAUGAAGCCGGCAAAAAGGAAAGCCGACCAACGAAGAAACUGCAUAGGGGACCUAUCAUGAGUGAACAUUGCGUGGGCGCCACUGGCCGCAUCUCAUCAUAUUGUUGUGUAGAAGAAGAAAUGACCGCCGAUGCUGCUGGUGCCUCCAUCUCUACGACCUUGCCGUCCAAGCCCGCAAUAGCAACAAACACGUAGCACUAGAGCACGGGAGGAGAGGUGAUCAGGGAAAUUCGUCUUUCUUGAUGGCAGGAUAAUUAGUGAUGGGCGACUCCACGCGACGCUGAUGUGAUUUCAGGCCACACUAAAGGAUGUCGGAGAAGGGGGCCGUAGGACGAACUCAACAACAUCGGUAGUGGGCUUGGUGGAUAUUGUGUCGAGGGCUCGGGGACGCACUCGGUGAAGGUGGUGGACCUCGGGGAGGGGGCCCUCAUACACGUGGAUGCAGGGGAAAAGAGGGUGCACGGGCUUGGAGGCAUUACUCAUCCACCUCUUCUGGCAAAGAGAGCUCAUCGGGGCCAACCGCGUGAAGGAGGAGCUUGAGGUAGCUUGGAGGAGGCGACGACGGCAGCCAGAUCCAUGUGGCAAGCCAGAGUGGAGGCAUCCCACAUGGGAGCAGUGAUUUCAGAGCCUAAGCUUAGAUGCACCUGCUAUUAUGUUUGUUCAUUGCUGCAUGGAGAUUCGGGAAAUGGGGCAUGAGGUUGCAUUGCUAGGGCGUGGAAAAUCCCCAAAACGAACUAUACAUGCAUGAAUAGUGCGAUACAUGUGGGUCUAUCAUGUAGCACACGAGGAGGGUUCGAACGAAGGACAAGCAGUGCCAUCUUGGUUGGAUUCUGAUCCAUGGCACCUAAUCGUCUGCAUUCAUCUAAGUCGUGGCUCACUUUGCUAGCCCGUGGUGUGACUUUGAAACUUUGAAUCCGAGUCAUGGCCUAAAGAUUUGUAUAGCUCCAGUUGGGGCCUGCGGUGUAGGAUCGUCAGUACGCACACCGAAUGUCAUCCACGACCGACAUCGGCCAACAGAUUGCUAGCUUACCAGACGCUACAAGAGGUAGCGUCCUUCGUGAAGUUUGUGUGCUUCAUCACCAACCAGGUCAUCCUAAGCCAUAAUGGACAACCCAUUCAUCUACGUAGUUGACUUCAACACUGGAGACGACUUCUCAUGGUCGUUGAUCAUGUCACACCUUGCUCACCAUGGCAACAAGCUGUUUCAUGUCACGUCACUUGCCACCACAUUAAUGCACCGCACGGAUACGCAUGCACCAACAGUCGUGCAUGGUGUCCGUCGGAGUUCGCGCGCGUCCCUAGGGUCUCCCAUUCCAGUACGAUGAGAAGGACCUCCUGGUCUGGGCUGGAAGUCACGUAAUGGUACCUACAACAAUCUCGAAAAGAGUAGAAGGCCUGGAUUUCAAGAGCAUCUGAGCUCGCACUUAGAAAUCUAUUUUUGUUCCCACGGUCCAUACAUAGAGAGAAACUAGAAAAGAAAACGCAAAACACGCAUACAUGCAUGCAUGCUUCCACAAAUGGGUUACCACAUACCUUUCUAGGAUUCUGGUGACCUCACAUUCAUUGUUGACCCCUUAUGACCUCACAUUCAUGGGAGAGAUUUCCUGAUCUCACAUUGUCUCUAUAAAAGUCUAUCACCUCUACGAAUCAUGUGUCUCCACCAUUUCAAAUCCUCCGCGCGCCUAACAUACCACUUGAGAAAUUACUAAUGGCCAACAGAAAGAAUGUCAUGGCCAUGUUAUUUCUCACCACCAUUGUGGCGGUGGCGGCCACAAGGCCAGCCGAGACCUAUGGCGUUGCGGAGGAGAACACAUUGAAGAUGGCUACCCCCAGCAGGAAAGGGGUUGACGCUACCUUAGCAACUACACGUGUUGUUGCCGCCGAGAAGUCCAUCAAGAAGGCUGAAAGCGUCACCACACCAGAAGAGGCCGCGGCUGCCAAGCAAGAUGGAGCAAAAUCUGCUUCUGCUGCAUUAAAGUACAAUGCCAUCUCUCAGCAGGCAAAUGGUAAAGGUUCUUCUACCUCCCUAGGCAGGAAAGAAGCAGCCAAUACUUUAGCCGCCGCACACUAUGCCGCCACCGAGAAGUCCAUCAAGAAGGCCGAAACCACCAAGACACCUGCAAAGGUCGUGGCUGCCAAGCGAGACGCAGCAAAGUCUGUUGAUGAUGCAUUAAAGUAUGGUGCCAUCUCUCGGAAAGCAGCUGGUACAAGUUCUUCUACCUCCCCCAAUAAGAAAGAAGGCACCACUGAUGCUGCUAAGAUGUUCACCAAGAAGGCUGAAACCGCUACCACACCUGAAGAGGCCGCGGCUGCCAAGCAAGCUGCAGCCAAGUCUACCGCUGCUGCAUCAAAGUAUGGUGUCAUUUCUCAGCAAGUAGCUGGUACAAGUUCUUCUACCUCCCCUAGCAGGAAAGAAGCUGCCGGUACCUUGGCAGAUGCUCGCAUAGCUGCUGCCGAGAAGUCCAUCAAGAAGGCUGAAACCGCCACAAGACCUGAAGAGGCAGCAUCCGCUAAGAAGGAUGCCACAAAAUCCGAGGCUGAUGCAAUGAAGUACGGGGCCAUCUCUCAGCAGGCCGCCGGCAAAAAUGGUGCCUAAGUGGUGCCUUAAACACCUAUUCACACGCAACAUCAUCUACAUACUACCAUGCAUGCAAAAUAGCAGCAUUCAGAUACCACAUUAUGCUAAUUCUCAUGCAUGCACACUUUGUUUAAACGUUCCCAUUACGAAUCAUGUAUUAAUGUCUUGCUUGUUUUAUUUUUAGUAGUAAGACAUGCUUGACUUGCUUUAAAAAAAAUACAACAAUCGAUGUAUACAUGUAUUAUCUAAAAAUCAGUAAUAUGAGUUCCACCGCAAUUUGUUUCUUUUUGUCAUAAUUUGGGUGCAAUCAAUGCACACAUCCAAUACACAAAAUUGGACGACUCAAUGUGUUGUGGCUCCAUGGAGCGGCGAAUCAUGUUUUAUUGUCUUGCUUGUUUUACUUUUAGUAGUAAUGUCUUGCUGGUCAAUGUAUUAUGGCUCCAUGGAGCGGCAUAAUGAUAUAUGAUAUAUCUUCACUACUUCAAAAAGAACUUAAGGUUUCGUCAUACAUCUUUCCUUCAUCCAUCCUCCCUACGAAUCCUUCCUGUUUUGAUUUUUUUCUCCCAUCUUUGAUUUUUCUCCCCAUUGAUUCUACCUAAAAACCACCUCAAUGUCACAUGUUUACUGUAUAUGUCAAGGCCUCCUUUGGUUCAUAGGGUAGAAAAAAACAUAGGAAUAGGAAAGUCAUAGGAAAUGAGAUGACAUGUAUCUCAAAUCCUAUGAUUGGGAAUAGGAAAGGAGAUGCCCUUUGAUUCACAUCAUAGGAUUUUUUCAUUGAAUCUAGGCUAAUGUUUAUUUUCCUAUGAAAUGUGAAGGAGAGGAAGAAUUCCUCCAUAGGAUUAGGAUUCCAUUCCUACAAACCAAAGGACUCUAAAGGAAUUUUUUCUAUAGAAAUCCUAUCCUAUGAAAUUCUUACAAGAUUCCUCCAAAUCAAAGGAGGCCCAAGUGGUUGUGAUGAGACAGUGGCUGGGCACUUCAGAUUUAUUCCCGUAACUGACUGUCAAAUUGAGUCAUCUGUCGUCCUUUCGAUGAUUGUAAGAAAGUUAUAUGUUUACUGUAUGUGCCAAUUGGUUGUGAUUAUCGUUACCGGCCACAAAGUUAUAUUUUCUUGUCUUAACGAAGGGUUGCAUACAAUGCGUGUAGCUCUUGACGCCUGAUAACCCACAAGUAUAGGGGAUCGCAACAGUUUUUGAGGGUAGAGUAUUCAACACAAAUUUAUAGAUUCGACACAAGGGGAGCCAAAGAAUAUUUGUAAGUAUUAACAGCUGAGUUAUCAAUUCAACCACACCUGGAGAUUAAUUAUCUGCAGCAAAGUGAUCAGUAGCAUAGUAGUAUGAUAGUUUUGAUAGUAGUAGCAACAUCAACAGUAACGGUAAUAGUGGUAGCAAUGGUUUUGUAGCAGUGACAAUAGUAACAGCAGCAGUAGUAACUUAGCAAGAACAAUAUGUACGAAAAUCGUACGCAUUGGAUCGGUGAUUUGUUGGAUGAUAUUCAUCAUGUGACAGUUACAACCUAGGACGAUACGGCACUAGCUCCAGUUCAUAAAUAUAAUGUAGGCAUGUAUUCUAUAAAUAAUCAUACGUGCUUAUGGAAAGAACUUGUAUGACAUCUUUUGUCCUACCCUCCUGUGGCAGCGGUGUCCUAUUGGAAACUAAGGGAUAUUAAGGCCUCCUUUUAAUAGAGAACCAGAACAAAGCAUUAACACACGGUGAAUACAUGAACUCCUCAAACUACGGUCAUCACAGGGAAGUGUCCCGACUAUUGUCACUCCGGGGUUGCCGGAUCAUAACACGUAGUAGGUAACUAUAACUUGCAAGAUUGGAUCUAGAACAUAGAUAUAAUGGUGAUAACAUAAGUCAUAGCAACAUCAAUCUCAGAACAUAAUGGAUACUCGGGAUGAAGCCCUAACAAAACUAACUCAAUUACAUGAUGAAUCUCAUCCAACUCCUCACCGACCAGCGAGCCUACGAAGGAAUUACUCACUCCUGGUGGGGAGCAUCAUGGAAUUGGCGAUGGAGAAGGGUUGGUGAUGACGAAGAUCGAAGACCCCCCUCUCUGGAGCCCCAAACGGACUCCAAAUCUAGCCUCCCGAUGAAGAACAGGAGAUGACGGCGGCUCUGUCUCGUGGAUCGUGAUAAUUCUUUCUUCCUGAUUUUUUCUGGAAAAAUAGGAUUUUAUAGCGUCGGAUUCAGGGCCUGCGGGGCCACCAGGUGGGGACAACCCACCUGGGUGUGCUUGGAGGGGGGGGGCCUGGUGGGUUGUGCCCAUCCAGGUGCCCCCCUCCGGUUGUUCUUGGCUCCAGAAAUUCUCUGUAUUUGUAUAAAAAUUCCUCGCAAAGUUUUGUUCCAAUCCGAAAACUUUUAUUUCUGCACAAAAAAAACACCAUGGUAGUUUUGUUGGAAACAGCGUCAGUCCGGGUUAGUUUCAUUCAAAUCAUGCAAAUUAGAGUGCAAAACAAGAGGAAAGUGUUAGGAAAAGUAGAUACGACGGAGAUGUAUCAACUCCUCCAAGCUUAAACCUUUGCUUGUCCUCAAGCAAUUCAGUUGAUAAACUGAAAGUGAAAAAAAAAUUACGAACUCUUUUGCUCUUGUUUUCAUAAAUAAGCUUAAACAUCACCCAGUGUCGAUGUCAAAACCGGCGGAUCUCGGAUAGGGGGUCCCGAACUGUGCGUCUAGGCGGAUGGUAACAGGAGACAAGGGACACGAUGUUUACCCAGGUUCGGGCCCUCUCGAUGGAGGUAAAACCCUACUCCUGCUUGAUUAAUAUUGAUGAUAUGGGCAGUACAAGAGUAGAUCUACCACGAGAUCAAGGAGGCUAAACCCUAGAAGGUAGCCUAUGGUAUGAUUGUUGUUGUCCUACAGACUAAAACUCUCUGGUUUAUAUAGACACCGGAGAGGGUUAGGGUUACACAGAGUCGGUUACAAUGGUAGGAGAUCUACAUAUCUGUAUCGCCAAGCUUGCCUUCCACGCCAAGGAAAGUCCCUUCCAGACACGGGAAGAAGUCUUCAAUCUUGUAUGUUCAUAGUCCGGGAGUCCGGCUGAAGGUAUCGUCCGGCUAUCCGGACACCCCCUAAUUCAGGACUCCCUUAGAGCCCCCGAACCAGGCUUCAAUGACGACGAGUCUGGCACGCAAAUUGUCUUCGGCAUUGCAAGGCGGGUUCUCCUUCAAUUUCUGUGUACCUGCUGAAUAAUGUCCGGUUUCUUAUAAAUGUAGCGCUCCUCGGCUUCCACGCCCAAUAAUGGCCGUCUUCCACGUGUCAAAUGAAUACGAAAAGUCUGGGUGUUUUUACAUUCACACCCCCAGCCGCGUAAAUGAGCCGCCUAUUUAAAGGGACGGGGAUUUAGAUCCAAACCACACCUUCUCCUCUCCGCGAGUUUCAUCAGAGCGCAUCCGACAAAGGACCGUUCCAUCAUGGCCAGCCGUCGCAGCUCCUCCUCUCGCCCUUCCAGCCCUCAUCCUGGAGAUUGGGAGAGAUGCUCCGUCCCGCACAGCGAGCUAGUGUCGCUUCGGACCAAAGGGAUUUCUUCCUCCGGCCUAUAUGGUCCCGGUUCGAGCCGGACUUGCCACCUAUAAUGGCGGAGAGCAAGUGGAGAGCGCCCCCAAUCCCUCCAAAGGAGAGCGGGUAUGCCUUGUCCCUUAUUUAAUAAGAGGGCUCGGAUUUCCAAUUCAUCCAUUUCUCCGGGGGCUCCUGGAGUUCUAUGGCCUCCAGCUGCACAACCUCACGCCUGUCUCCGUAUUGCAUAUUGCGGGCUUCGUAGCCCUUUGCGAGUUGUUUUUGGGUGUUGAGGCUCAUUUCGCGCUGUGGAAGAGGCUAUUCUGCCUUGUGCCCUGUUCUUAGGAGGGGUCAAUAUAUCAAGUGGGCGGAGCCAAAGUGUGGUGUAUCGCCGGGACCGGAUAUCUAUCCGGAACCCCAAAGAAGGCGUCUGAGGACUGGCCUUCAGAAUGGUUUUAUAUAGAGGACGUCCCGUUGCCGGAUCCUGUUCGGAUCGGCCUCCCUGAGUUCAACAGCGCUCCCCUAAAGAAAAACCUAAGCUGGCGCCCACGGAGCCCUCAGAGAGAAAGUGACAAGGACAUUCUUUACCUGAUGGGCCGGAUAAGAUUAUUAGCUCAUUCCGGACUAACCAUGAUCGGAGUCAUGGCUGCAUGCAUCAUGCGAGGGGUGCAACCGCUUCAGUACAGAGGCCACCCCAUGUGGGACUUCAACGGGGAGGAUGAUGCCACCCGUCACGGCCGUAAGGGGCCGGACUCGGCUACCGCUCUAGUAAAGAUCUUGUCCGCUUUGUACAAGGGAGAAGAGGAGGAAUUUCUCCGCGUCAACCCACAGGGUGGAUUUACCAUGUACAAUCCCCCAAGUUGGGUAAGUGGGCAAUUUUACUUGCACGUCUGUUUUGUAUUCCCAUCAUUAAAUAUAUAGUCUAACGACUUCAACGCAGGAACUGCGCCUGGAAGUAAAGGACAUAAAUAGCCCGCCUCCACAGCCCGAGGACCCAGAGUUGUCCCUCGAUCCGGCCUCCGAAGAGGAUCCGGACUUAUCCAUGGAGUUAAUUGAUGGGGUGUUUUAUCAAUUGAGCAAGGACAAUGCCUUGGUGGCCAUUAAGGCCGAUUACCCGGGGCUGCUCCCGGCCUCCCAGGUAACUGAGACCGAAGUCCUAGCACCUCAAAAAGGGAUCCGCCCUCGCGUGUUUUUCAGUUUCCUGACAACAACCGUGUUUUGCAGGGGAGGUUCUUGAGACGGGAGGCCGAGCCUGCGGCGACUAGCCAACGAGGGGCUACAGGGCCCCGUGGGAUGAAAAGAAGUGCAGUCCGGAUUGAGGCGCCGGCGCAGAGGUAUAGCACGCCUUCUUAUUCCCAGGUGUUAUUCCUUCAAGGCAUAUUAACACUCGUGCUCUUUUCAGGACAAAAAGACCCCGCCGGACUAUAUCUGGAGAGGCUGCCAAUCGCGCCUCCACCAGCCAGGCUCCAAAGCCUGGUCCGGAGACGGAGGCGAACACGAGGCGCGCACCGGACGCUCCUCCAACAGAGGAUGCGGACAGGCUGUCCGCCACUAAUUCCGAGGUGGAGAGUGCCAUGAACCACAGGCGUCGCCGGACAGUUCUUCGCGACGCUUGUUUCUCCCAAGAGGCAUUGGACGCCUUCAAUUCGGGAGAUGCGUACCUCCGUGCCGCUCAAAAUGGUCUAGCCAGAGCCACGGAGCAAUAUGUAAAAGACAUACAGGUGAGAAAAUUUAAUGGUUAUAUAUAUCAGUAGCCCCCGAGACUUGAAACAGUUAGAAGAACUGAUUUAAGGAUCAUUCAUAAUGCAGGUUCUUGCGGAAAAGAAUACCCAACUGUCCCAGGAGCUAGAAGAGUGCAAAGCCCAACUUGAGGCCGCACUAGCCGCGACAGGGGAGCCCAAGGAGACCCCCUCUGGUAAUAUGUGCUUCAAAAAGAGAAGUAUUUUGUGAAGUGCGGCGUUUGUGCAAAUCUGACAAAUGAAAUUGCAGAUGGCGCCGGAUUAGAUCCGGAAAAGCAACAACUCCUACGCCAGCUAAAGGCUGGUGAGAGCGUGCUGACAAAGGUGAGGUGGGAGAAGAACGAUCUCCAAUAUGCCAACACCAAGCUGGGCGUUGAACUGAAAGAUGUUUGUGCCCAGCUGUCGGACUCCGCUAAGGAGAAUCAGCGGCUUCGACGCGGCAUAUUUAGUAAGUGCUUAAACGAACUUUGAAUAAAGAGUUCGACGAGGAAGUCGACUAACGGAGUAAUGUCUGUAGGUAUGCUAACAGGUCGUCCUGCAGAGGAGAUGCCCGGUUCUAUGGGUGACCUUCUUCCCGAGCUCUUGCAACUGCACGAGCGAGUUCGGCAGGUGAUGCAGGGCGUCGCCCAGGCCUUGUGGCCAUCCAUCUCCAUGCCCGAAGGACUUGGAGAGCUUGCAGAGAAGCUGAAGGGAGCGCGGCGGCGCUUCUGAUUGUGGAAGAUAUCGGCCUGCGUCAAGGCGCUAGGGAGGCAUGGGCCAUGGUGAAGACGCGGUACACGAAGGCUGACCCAAACCACAUGGCCGAGGUCGGACCUGUGGGGCCCGAUGGGAAGGAGAUCCCUGUAAGCUUCGUAUACGGCUAAGUAGAAUUGGCCGCAAAGUAUUCCCAGCAGGACUGUAAGCUAGACAGCCUGUUAGAUGGUAUUGAAGAGGAAUACAAUCAGUCAUAAUGACUAUGUAAUUUUAAUUGACAUGUGUAAUGCCUUCUAGCCAGAUUGUAGAUCAUUUUUCAUGGCCGACCUUUUUGCUUCGACCUCGGGACCUGCGGUCUGGAGUGUGUCCGAAUACCCUUGCGGUUAUAUAAGAACCGGGGUAUGCAUGGAGACUAGGCGUAGGGGUCAUUAGUGCUUGAACAGACAAGUGCCCGACUAGUUAUGUUAUAUUACAUGGUUAGUAAGAAACAUCUUCCAGGGAGAAUAGUUCCGUUAGGGGUUCCUUUCCCUGGGAGGCAUGCCCUAAAGUGCAUGUCCAUUCUGCGAAAAAGAGACGCAGGAAAAAACAUCUGGGGGCGCAUAGAUAAAUAAGUGAAAAAAUCAUCUUUAGUUCACCGACCGAAUAUUUCCUUAAGAACGCUAGCUUUCGGCUUCACCCAGUCUGAGGUACACAUCGGGCUGACCCGGCAGUAACAAUCGCAGAGGUGCUCCCUUUACCACCUAGCCGAACAAUCGGGAACAUAGGGGUAAGCACAGGAGCCAGGCAACCCAGCUUGGCCAAAAAUUAAGUCAUAUCGAUGCAUAUGAUGGUGAAUAAAAGGUACAUGCGGAAGUGUGACACAUGUGUUGGGCAUGAAGCCCGUAUAAGCUUCUGUUCAAAGAAGCCCCCAGGUUUAGUGAGCGUGGAUAGCGCGUCACUUGAUGAGCCUUUAAAGGCUAUAAGAGAAAGGAGGGGGAGAAGGAGAAAAUGGAAGACAGAAAAUAUAAAAAAUGGACAGAGGAAGGAGACGAACAUAGAGUCCGGCGCUAGGCAUAGAAUCUUCGGAGACGGGCUGCGUUCCAUGGGUUCGGUUCGAGUCGGUUAUCCGAUGCAUCUCGCAGGCGGUAUGCUCCACCAGUCAGGACUUGGUCAAUUAUGAAGGGACCUUCCCACUUGGGCUGGAGUUUGUCCUUUUUCUUGUCCGGCAGGCGUAGAACUAGUUCGCCAACAUUGUAAUUUUUGGCCCGUACUUCUCUGCUUUGAUAUCUUCGAGCCUGCUGUUGAUAGAAUGCGGAACGGGCUUUUGCCACGUCACGCUCCUCCUCCAAGGCAUCUAAACUGUCCUGCCGAUCGAGCUCGGCUUCUCUUUCUUCGUACAUGCGCACUCAAGGUGAGUCAUGAAUUAUAUCGCAGGGCAAAACUGCUUCUGCACCGUACACCAUGAAGAAUGGUGUGUAUCCGGUGGUGCGAUUCGACGUGGUCCGCAGCCCCCAGAGUACGGAGUCGAGCUCCUCUACCCAGUGCGUGUUAGAUUCCUUAAGGUACCGCACUAAUCUGGGUUUGAUGCCGCUCAUGAUAAGACCAUUUGCGUGUUCGACCUGUCCGUUAGUUUGUGGGUGAUAGACGGAAGCAUAAUCGAGCUUGAUGCCCAUGUUUUUGCACCAGAGUUUUACCUCAUCGACCGUAAAGUUCGUACCGUUAUCAGUGAUGAUGCUGUGGGGGACGCCGUAACGGUGUACGACCCCCGAUAUAAAGUCUAUCACCGGUCCGGAUUCGGCCGUCUUAAUAGGCUUGGCCUCUAUCCAUUUGGUGAACUUAUCCACCAUGACCAGUAAGUAUUUUUUCUUCUGGGUUCCGCCUUUAAGGGGUCCAACCAUGUCAAGCCCCCAGACCGCGAAGGGCCAAGUGAUGGGGAUAGUUUGGAGGGCGGUGGGUGGCAUAUGGCUUUGGUUUGGCAAAAGCUGGCAACCGACGCAUCGUUGGACUAAGUCCUGAGCGUCUGCCCGGGCCGUUGGCCAAUAAAAGCCUGUACGGAAAGUCUUGCUUACGAGGGACCGAGUUGCGGUGUGAUGACCAUCGAGUCCGGCAUGAAUUUCAGCCAGCAAGUUCCGCCCAUCCUCCUCGGAGAUGCACCUUUGAAGGACUCCGGUAGUGCUUUUCUUAUAAAGCUCUCCCUCAUGGACUUUAUAGGCUUUAGAUCGCCGCACUAUGCAGCGUGCCUCAUUUUGGUCUUCUGGGAGUUCCUGCCUAGUAAGGUAGGCUAGGAAUGGUUCUGUCCACGGGGCGAUGACCGCCAUUAUUACGUGGGCUGAAGAUGUGACUUCAUUGGCAGAAUCUCCAAUUAUGUCAGUGUUGGGUAACGUAGCAGAAAUUCAAAAUUUUCCUACGUGUCACCAAGAUCUAUCUAUGGAGAAACCAGCAACGAGGGGAAGGAGAGUGCAUCUACAUACCCUUGUAGAUCGCUAAGCGGAAGCGUUCAAGAGAACGGGGUUGAAGGAGUCGUACUCGUCGUGAUCCAAAUCACCGAUGAUCCUAGUGCCGAACGGACGGCACCUCCGCGUUCAACACACGUACAGCCCGGUGACGUAUCCCACGCCUUGAUCCAGCAAGGAGAGAGGGAGAGGUUGAGGAAGACUCCAUCCAGCAGCAGCACAACGGCGUGGUGGUGGUGGAGGAGCGUGGCAAUCCUGCAGGGCUUCGCCAAGCACCACGGGAGAGGAGGAAGGAGAGAUGCAGGGCUGCGUCAUAUAGAAGAGAGGAACUCGCGUCUUAUGAGCAGCCCAAACCUCAACUAUAUAUAGGGGAAGGGGAGAGGCUGCGGCCCCUUUAGGGUUUCCACCCCUAGGGGUGGCGGCCAGCCUAGAUCCCAUCUAAGGGAGGCGGCCAAGGGGGAGGGGGAGAGGGAGGCGCACCAGGAUGGGCCUUAGGGCCCAUCUGCCCUAGGGUUUGCCCCCUUCUCCUCUCCCUUGCACCUUGGGCCCUUGUGGGGGGGGGGGCGCACCAGCCCACCUGGGGCUGGUCCCCUUCCACACUUGGCCCAUGAAGCCCUCCGGGGCUGGUUUGCCCCACUUGGUGGACCCCCGGGACCCUCCCGGUGGUCCCGGUACGUCACCGAUAAACCCCGAAACUUUUCCGGUGACCAAAACAGGACUUCCCAUAUAUAAAUGUUUACCUCCGGACCAUUCCAGAACUCCUCGUGACGUCCGAGAUCUCAUCCGGGACUCCGAACAACAUUCGGUAACCACAUACAAACUUCCUUUAUAACCCCAGCGUCAUCGAACCUUAAGUGUGUAGACCCUACGGGUUUGGGAGACAUGCAGACAUGACCGAGACGUUCUCUGGUCAAUAACCAAUAGCGGGAUCUGGAUACCCAUGUUGGCUCCCACAUGUUCCACGAUGAUCUCAUCGGAUGAACCACGAUGUCAAGGACUUAAUCAAUCCCGUAUACAAUUCCCUUUGUCUAUCGGUACGAUACUCGCCCGAGAUUCGAUCGUCGGUAUCCCGAUACCUUGUUCAAUCUCAUUACCGGCAAGUCUCUUUACUCGUUCCGUAACACAUCAUCCCGUGAUCAACUCCUUGAUCACAUUGUGCACAUUAUGAUGAUGUCCUACCGAGUGGGCCCAGGGAUACCUCUCCGUCACACGGAGUGAUAAAUCCCAGUCUCGAUUCGUGCCAACCCAACAGACACUUUCAGAGAUACCCGUAGUGUACCUUUAUAGCCACCCAGUUACCUUGUGACGUUUGGCACACCCAAAGCACUCCUACGGUAACCGGGAGUUGCACAAUCUCAUGGUCUAAGGAAAUGAUACUUGACAUUAGAAAAGCUUUAGCAUACGAACUACACGAUCUAGUGCUAUGCUUAGGAUUGGGUCUUGUCCAUCACAUCAUUUUCCUAAUGAUGUGAUCCCGUUAUCAACGACAUCCAAUGUCCAUGGUCAGGAAACCGUAACCAUCUAUUGAUCAACGAGCUAGUCAACUAGAGGCUUACUAGGGACAUGGUGUUGUCUAUGUAUCCACACAUGUAUCUGAGUUUCCUAUCAAUAUAAUUCUAGCAUGGAUAAUAAACGAUUAUCAUGAACAAGGAAAUAUAAUAAUAAUCAAUUUAUUAUUUCCUCUAGGGCAUAUUUCCAACAGUCUCCCACUUGCACUAGAGUCAAUAAUCCAGUUCACAUCGUUAUGUGACUAACACUCAAGGUCACAUCCCCAUGUGACUAACACCCAAAGAGUUUACUAGAGUCAAUAAUCUAGUUCACAUUUACCAUGUGAUUAACACUCGAUGAGUUCUGGGUUUGAUCAUGUUAUGCUUGUGAGAGAGGUUAUAGUCAACGGGUCUGAACCUUUCAGAUCCGUGUGUGCUUUACAAAUCUCUAUGUCAUCUCCUAGAUGCAGCUACCACGCUCUAUUUGGAGCUAUUCCAAAUAACUGUUCUACUAUACGAAUCCAGUUUACUACUCAGAAUAAUCUGGAUUAGUGUCAAAGUUUGCAUCGGCGUAACCCUUUACGACGAACUCUUUUACCACCUCCAUAAUCGAGAAAAUUCCUUAGUCCACUAGUUACUAAGGAUAACUUUGAUCGCUGUCCUGUGAUCCAUUCUUGGAUCACUCUUGUACCCCUUGACUGACUCAUGGCAAGGCACACUUCAGGUGCGGUACAUAGCAUAGCAUACUGUAGAGCCUAUGUCUUAAGCAUAGGGGACGACCUUCGUUCUUUCUCUCUAUUCUGCCGUGGUCAAGCUUUAAGUCUUAACUUCAUACCUUACAACUCAGGCAAGAACUCCUUCUUUGACUGAUCCAUCUUGAACACCUUCAAGAUCAUGUCAAGGAAUGUGCUCAUUUGAAAGUACCAUUAAGUGUUUUGAUCUAUCCUUAUAGAUCUUGAUGCUCAAUGUUCAAAUAGCUUAAUCCAGGCUUUCCAUUGAAAAAACACUUUCCAAAUAACCCUAUAUGCUUUCCAGAAAUUCUACGUCAUUUCUGAUCAACAAUAUGUCAACAACAUAUAUUCAUCAGAAAUUCUAUAGUGCUCCCACUCACUUCUUUGGAAAUACAAGUUUCUCAUAAACUUCGUAUUCACCCAAAAUCUUUGAUCAUCUCAUCAAAGCAUACAUUCCAACUCGAGAUGCUUACUCCAGUACUUAGAAGGAUUGCUGGAGCUUUGCAUACUUAUUAGCAUAUUUCAGGAUUGACAAAACCUUCCGGUUGUAUCACAUACAACCUUUCCUCAAAAAUCAUCGAGGAAACAAUGUUUUGACAUCCUAUCUGCAAGAUUUCAUAAAUGAUGCAGUAAUUGCUAAUAUAAUUCCAACAGACUCUUAGCAUCGCUACGAGUGAGAAAGUCUCAUCGUAGUCAACUCCUUGAACUUGUCGGAAAACAUCUUAAUGACAAGUCGAGCUUUCUUAAUGGUGAUACUUACCAUCAUUGUCCGUCUUCCUUUUAAAAUCCAUAUGUACCUAACAGCCUUACGACCAUCAAGUUGUUCUUCCAAAGUCUACACUUUGUUUUCACAUAUGGAUCCUCUCUCGGAUUAUAUGGCCUUGAGCCAUUUUGGAAUCCAGGCCCACCAUUGCUCCUCCAUAGCUCGUAGGUUCAUUGUUGUCUAGCAACAUGACUUCCAAGACAGGAUUACGUACCAUUCUAAAGCAGUACACAUCCUUGUCAUCCCACGAGGUUUGGUAGUGACUUGAUCUGAAGUUUCAUGAUCACUAUCAUAAGCUUCCACUUCAAUUGGUGUAGGUGCCACAGGAACAACUCCCUGUGCCCUGCCACACACUAGUUGAAGAGAUGGUUCAAUAACCUCAUCAAGUCUCCACCAUCCUCCCACUCAAUUCUUUCGAGAGAAACUUUUCCUCGAGAAAGGACCCGAUUCUAGUAACAAUCCCUUAUUGCUUUCGAAUCUGAGACAGGAGGUAUACCCAACUGUUUUGGGUGUCCUAUGAAGAUGUAUUUAUCCGCUUUGGGUUCGAGCUUAUCGACCUGAAACUUUUUCACAUAAGCGUCGCAGCCCCAAACUUUUAAGAAAUGACAGCUUAGGUUUCUCUAAACCAUAGUUCAUACGGUGUCAUCUCAUCGGAAUUACGUGGUGCCCUAUUUAAAGUGAAUGUGGUUGUCUCUAAUGCCUAACCCAUAAACUAUUGUGGUAAUUCGAUAAGAGACAUCAUGGUAUGCAUCAUAUCCAAUAGGGUGCAGUUAUGAUGUUCGGACACACCAUCACACUAUGGUGUUCCAGGCUGUAUCAGUUGUGAAACAAUUUCCACAAUGUCUUAAUUCUGUGCCAAACUCGUAAUUCAGAUAUUCAUCUCUAUGAUCAUAUCAUAGAUAUUUUAUCCUCUUGUCACGAUGAUCUUUCAACUUCACCCUGAAAUUACUUGAACCUUUCAAUAAUUCAAACUCAUGAUUCAUCAAGUAAAUAUACUCAACAUCUACUCAAAUCAUCUGUGAAGUAAGAACAUAACGAUAUCCACUACAUUCCUCAGCACUCAUUGGACUGCACACAUCAAAAUGUAUUACUUCCAACAAGUUGCUUUCUAGUUCCAUUUUACUGAAACCGAGGCUUUCAGUCAUCUUGCCCAUGUGGUAUGAUUUGCAUGUCUCAAGUGAUUCAAAAUCAAGUGAGUCCAAAUGGUCCAUUUGCAUGGAGUUUCUUCAUGCAUAUACACCAAUAGACAUGGUUCGCAUGUCUCAAACUUUUCAAAAAUGAGUGAGCCCAAAGAUCCAUCAACAUGGAGCUUCUUCAUGCGUUUUAUACUGAUAUGACUUACGUGGCAGUGCCACAAGUAGGUGGUACUAUCAUUACUAUCUUAUAUCUUUUGGCAUGAACAUGUGUAUCACUACGAUCAAGAUUCAAUAAACCAUUCAUUUUAGGUGCAAGACCAUUGAAGGUAUUAUUCAAAUGAACAGAGUAACCAUUAUUCUCCUUAAAUGAAUAGCCGUAUCGCGAUAGACAUAAUCCAAUCAUGUCUAUGCUCAACGCAAACACCAAAUAACAAUUAUUUAGGUUUAACACCAAUCUCGAUGGUAGAGGGAGCGUGCGAUGCUUGAUCAUAUCAACAUUGGAAACACUUCCAACACAUAUCGUCAGCUCACCUUUAGCUAGUCUCCGUUUAUUCCGUAGCUUUUAUUUCAAGUUACUAACACUUAGCAACCGAACCGGUAUCUAAUACCCUGGUGCUACUAGGAGUACCAGUAAAGUACACAUUAACACAAUGUAUAUCCAAUAUACUUCUAUCGACCUUGCCAGCCUUCUCUUCUACCAAGUAUCUAGGGUAAUUCUGCUCCAGUGGCUGUUCCCCUUAUUACAGAAGCACUUAAUUAGUCUCGGGUUUGGGUUCAACCUUGGGUUUCUUCACUAGAGCAGCAGCUAAUUUGCCGUUUCAUGAAGUAUCCCUUCUUGCCCUUGCCCUUCUUGAAACUAGUGGUUUCACCAACCAUCAACAAUUGAUGCUCCUUCUUGAUUUCUACUUUUGUGGUGUCAAACAUCGCGAAUAUCUCAAGGAUCAUCAUAUAUGUCCCUGAUAUAUUAUAGUUCAUCACGAAGCUCUAGCAGCUUGGUGGUAAUGACUUCGGAGAAACAUCACUUUCUCAUCUGGAAGAUCAACUCCCACUCGAUUCAAAUGAUUGUUGUACUCAGACAAUCUGAGCACAAGCUCAACAAUUGAGCUUUUCUCCCUUAGUUUGCAGGCUAAGAAAAUUGUCGGAGGUCUUAUACCUCUUGACAUGGGCACGAGCCUGAAAUCCAAAUUUCAGCCCUCGAAACAUCUCAUAUGUUUUGCGACGUUUCAAAACGUCUUUGGUGCCUCAACUCUAAACCGUUUAACUGAACUAUCACGUAGUUAUGAAAAUGUGUAUGUCAGAUGUUCGCAACAUCCACAGACAACGUUCGAGGUUCAGCACACUGAGCGGUGCAUUAAGGACAUAAGCCUUCUAUGAAGCAAUGAGGACAAUCCUCAGUUUACGGACCUAGUCCGCAUAAUUGCUACUAUCAACUUUCAACUAUUUUUUUUUCUCUAGGAACAUAUCUAAACAGUAGAACUAAAGCGCGAGCUACGACAUAAUUUGCAAAAUCCUUUUGACUAUGUUCAGGAUAAACAAGUUCAUCUUAUGAACUUCCACUCAGAUAGAUAUCCCUCUAGUCAUCUAAGUGAUUACAUGAUCCGAGUCAACUAGGCCGUGUUCGAUCAUCACGUGAGACGGACUAGUCAUCAUCGGUGAACAUCUUCAUGUUGAUCGUAUCUACCAUACGACUCAUGCUCGACCUUUCGGUCUCUUGUGUUCCGAGGCCAUGUCUGUACAUGCUAGGCUCAUCAAGUCAACCUAAGUGUUUCGCGUGUGUAAAUCUGUCUUACACCCGUUGUAUGUGAACGUUAGAAUCUAUCACGCCCGAUCAUCACGUGGUGCUUCGAAACGACGAACUUUCGCAACGGUGCAUAGUUAGGGGGAACACUUUCUUGAAAUUUUAAUGAGGGAUCAUCUUAUUUACUACUGUCGUUCUAAGCAAAUAAGAUGUAUAAACAUGAUAAACAUCACAUGCAAUCAAAUAGUGAUAUGAUAUGGCCAAUAUCAUAGUGCUCCUUUUGAUCUCCAUCUUCGGGGCUCCAUGAUCAUCAUCACCGGCAUGACACCAUGAUCUCCAUCAUCAUGAUCUCCAUCAUCGUGUCUUCAUGAAGUUGUCUCGCCAACUAUUACUUCUACUACUACAGCUAACUGUUAGCAAUAAAGUGAAGUAAUUACAUGGCGUUGUUUAAUGACACGCAGGUCAUAUAAUAAAUUAAGACAACUCCUAUGGCUCCUGCCGGUUGUCAUACUCAUCGACAUGCAAGUCGUGAUUCCUAUUACAAGAACAUGAUCAAUCUCAUACAUCACAUAUCAUUCAUCACAUUCUUCUUGGCCAUAUCACAUCACAUAGCAUACCCUGCAAAAACAAGUUAGACGUCCUCUAAUUGUUGUUUGCAUGUUUUACGUGGCUGCUAUGGGUUUCUAGCAAGAACGUUUCUUACCUACGCAAAACCACAACGUGAUAUGCCAAUUGCUAUUUACCCUUCAUAAGGACCCUUUUCAUCGAAUCCGAUCCGUCUAAAGUGGGAGAGACAAACACCCGCCAGCCACCUUAUGCAACUAGUGCAUGUUUGUCGAUGGAACCGGUCUCACGUAAGCGUAUGUGUAAGGUUGGUCCGGGCCGCUUCAUCCCACAAUGCCGCCGAAUCAAGAUUGGACUAGUAACGGUAAGCAUAUUGAACAAAAUCAACGCCCACAACUACUUUGUGUUCUACUCGUGCAUAGAAUCUACGCAAUAGACCUAGCUCAUGAUGCCACUGUUGGGUAACGUAGCAGAAAUUCAAAAUUUUCCUAUGUGUCACCAAGAUCUAUCUAUGGAGAAACCAGCAACGAGGGGAAGGAGAGUGCAUCUACAUACCCUUGUAGAUCGCUAAGCAGAAGCGUUCAAGAGAACGUGGUUGAAGGAGUCGUACUCGUCAUGAUCCAAAUCACCGAUGAUCCUAGUGCCGAACGGAUGACACCUCUGCGUUCAACACACGUACAGCCCGGUGACGUAUCCCACGCCUUGAUCCAGCAAGGAGAGAGGGAGAGGUUGAGGAAGACUCCAUCCAGCAGCAGCACAACGGCGUGGUGGUGGUGGAGGAGCGUGGCAAUCCUGCAGGGCUUCGCCAAGCACCACGGGAGAGGAGGAAGGAGAGAUGCAGGGCUGCGUCAUAUAGAGGAGAGGAACUCGCGUCUUAUGAGCAGCCCAAACCUCAACUAUAUAUAGGGGAAGGGGAGGGGCUGCGACCCCUUUAGGGUUUCCACCCCUAGGGGUGGCGGCCAGCCUAGAUCCCAUCUAAGGGAGGCGGCCAAGGGGGAGGGGGAGAGGGAGGCGCACCAGGAUGGGCCUUAGGGCCCAUCUGCCCUAGGGUUUGCCCCCUUCUCCUCUCCCUUGCGCCUUGGGCCCUUGUGGGGGGGGGCGCACCAGCCCACCUGGGGCUGGUCCCCUUCCACACUUGGCCCAUGAAGCCCUCCGGGGCUGGUGGCCCCACUUGGUGGACCCCCGGGACCCUCCCGGUGGUCCCGGUACGUUACCGAUAAACCCCAAAACUUUUCCGGUGACCAAAAUAGGACUUCCCAUAUAUAAAUCUUUACCUCCGGACCAUUCCGGAACUCCUCGUGACGUUCGGGAUCUCAUUCGGGACUCCGAACAACAUUCGGUAACCACAUACAAACUUCCUUUAUAACCCCAGAGUCAUCGAACCUUAAGUGUGUAGACCCUACGGGUUCGGGAGACAUGCAGGCAUGACCGAGACGUUCUCCGGUCAAUAACCAACAGCGGGAUCUGGAUACCCAUGUUGGCUCCCACAUGUUCCACGAUGAUCUCAUCGGAUGAACCACGAUGUCAAGGACUUAAUCAAUCCCGUAUACAAUUCCCUUUGUCUAUCGGUAUGAUACUCGCCCGAGAUUCGAUCGUCGGUAUCCCGAUACCUUGUUCAAUCUCGUUACCGGCAAGUAUCUUUACUCGUUCCAUAACACAUCAUCCCGUGAUCAACUCCUUGAUCACAUUGUGCACAUUAUGAUGAUGUCCUACCGAGUGGGCCCAGAGAUACCUCUCCGUCACACGGAGUGACAAAUCCCAGUCUCGAUUCGUGCCAACCCAACAGACACUUUCGGAGAUACCCGUAGUGUACCUUUAUAGCCACCCAGUUACGUUGUGACGUUUGGCACACCCAAAGCACUCCUACGGUAACCGGGAGUUGCACAAUCUCAUGGUCUAAGGAAAUAUUGACAUUAGAAAAGCUUUAGCAUACGAACUACAUGAUCUAGUGCUAUGCUUAGGAUUGGAUCUUGUCCAUCACAUCAUUCUCCUAAUGAUGUGAUCCCGUUAUCAACGACAUCCAAUGUCCAUGGUCAGGAAACCGUAACCAUCUAUUGAUCAACGAGCUAGUCAACUAGAGGCUUACUAGGGACAUGGUGUUGUCUAUGUAUCCACACAUGUAUCUGAGUUUCCUAUCAAUACAAUUCUAGCAUGGAUAAUAAACGAUUAUCAUGAACAAGGAAAUAUAAUAAUAAUCAAUUUAUUAUUGCCUCUAGGGCAUAUUUCCAACAGUCAGAUUGUUCGGUGUUGGGCAGUGCGGUUGAGUCCGGGCUGUUAUUGCCGGGUUCCCCUUCCCAUACUACGGACGGCUUGAAUAGCCUUUCCAAGAAGAUGUUGGGAGGGACUGCAUCGCGUUUUGCGCCGAUGCGUGCCAGGACAUCCGCCGCCUGAUUAUUUUCCCGGGCUAUAUGGUGAAAUUCGAGCCCUUCGAACUGAGCUGACAUUUUUAAGACGAUGUUGCGAUAAGCUGCCAUUUUUGGAUCCUUGGCAUCGAAGUCUCUGUUUAUUUGGGACAUUGCGAGGUUCAAAUCCCCUCGCACUUCUAGGCGUUGAAUACCCAUGGAUACUGCCAUCCAGAGACCAUGUAAGAGGGCCUCGUAUUCGGCUGCAUUGUUGGAGUCUGUGUACAUAAUCUGGAGUACAUAUUGAACUGUGUCUCCUGUGGGGGACGUCAAAACGACGCCAGCCCCCAGACCGGCCAACAUUUUGGAGCCGUCGAAAUGCAUGAUCUAGUUUUAAUAUGUGCCGUACUCUUCAGGGAGUUCGGCCUCCGUCCAUUCUGUGACGAAGUCAGCCAAAACUUGCGACUUGAUAGCUCGCCGUGGCUUAUAAGUUAUGUCGAACGGGAGGAGCUCGAUGGCCCAUUUCGCAAUCCGGCCCGUUGCGUUGCGGUUCUUUAUAAUAUCGUUUAGUGGUACUUCUGAGGCUACUAUUAUUGAACACUCUUGAAAGUAGUGUCGCAGCUUCCGGGAUGCCAUGAAUACCGCGUACGCAAUCUUUUGAUAAUGUGGGUACCUUGAUUUGCACGGAGUGAGGACAGUGGACACAUAAUAGACCGGCUUCUGAAGGGGGAAUUUGUGUCCGUCGUUUCUCGUUCGACGACGAGCACUGCGCUCAGAACCUGAUGGGUUGCUGCAAUGUAUAAUAGCAUUGGUUCGCCAAUGUUUGGCGCGGCCAGGACUGGGUUUGUUGCCAAUAUGGCUUUUAUUUCGUCGAGUCCGGCCGUGGCUGCGUCCGUCCACUCGAAGUGUUCGGUGCGCCUAAGGAGGCGGUAAAGGGGGAGUGCCUUUUCUCCCAAGUGGGAGAUAAAGCGGCUUAGAGCCGCCACACAUCCGGUUUACUUUUGUAUUUGUUUGAGGUCCUUUGGGAUAUUCAAUUGUGACAGAGCUCGGAUCUUGGCUGGAUUUGCUUCAAUUCCUCUACCGAAUACAAUGAAGCCCAAGAGCUUUCCGGCUGGAACGCCGAAAACGCAUUUUUCUGGGUUGAGCUUGAUGUCGUAUGUUCGGAGGUUAUCAAAUGUGAGCCUCAAGUCAUCUACUAGGGAUUCGACAUGUCUUGUUUUUACGACCACAUCAUCUACAUAUGCCUCCACUGUUUUGCUGAUCUGGUUUGCCAGACAUGUCUGAAUCAUGCGCUGAUAUGUUGUUUUGAGCCCGAAGGGCAUUGUGUUGAAGCAGAAUGGGCCGUAUGGUGUGAUCAAUGUCGUUGCGGCUUGGUCUGAUUCUGCCAUCUUGAUUUGAUGGUAGCCGGAAUAUGCGUCGAGCAAGCACAACGAAUCGUGUCCUGCAGUAGCGUCGAUAAUUUGAUCCAUGCGGGGGAGGGGAAAGGGAUCCUUUGGGCAAGCCUUAUUAAGGUCUUUAAAAUCAACGCACAAGUGCCAGGAUUUGUCCUUCUUUGGUACCAUCACUAGGUUUGCUAGCCAGUCCGGAUGUUUUAUAUCUCUGAUGGAUCCGGCCUCUAAUAGCUUGGCUAGCUCCUCUCCCAUGGCCUGUCUCUUAGGUUCGGAAAAACGCCGAAGAGCCUGUUUGACAGGUUUGAAUCCUUUAGGAUAUUUAAGCUGUGUUCGGCCAGCCUGCGUGGGAUUCCUGGCAUGUCUGAAGGGUGCCAGGCGAAAAUGUCCUAGUUCUCACGUAGGAACUCUCGCAGUGCGGCGUCUACAUCAGGGUUUAAUUGUGCACCGAUGGAAGCUGUUUUAUUGGGGUCCGUUGGAUGGACCUGGAAUUUGACUAUUUUGUCCGCUGGUUUAAAUGAGAUGGACUUGGAUCUUUUGUCGAGUAUCACAUCAUCCCUGUUCACCGUGGAGCGCAGCGCAGUCAGCUCCUCAGCCGCUAGGGCUUAGGAUAGUGCCUCAAGGGCCAGUGCGGCUGUCUUAUUUUAGGCGCGGAGUGCUAUGUCCAGAUCACUAGCGAGAGUGAUGAUUCCGUUCGGCCCGGGCAUCUUGAGUUUCAUGUACCCAUAAUGGGGUAUUGCUUGGAAGAUUGUGAACGCUUCCCGCCCUAGCAGAGCGUGGUAUCCGCUACUGAACGGGACCACUUGGAACGUGACCUCCUCGGACCUGUAAUUAUCCGGCGUGCCGAACACCACAUCUAGUGUGAUUUUUCCUGUACAGCACGCUUCCUGACUGGGGAUUAUUCCUCUAAAGGUUGUGCUGCUUCGCUCAAUGCGGUUCCAGUCUAUUUCUAGUUUUUGAAGGGUUUCCUCAUAAAUGAGGUUCAAUCCGCUGCCUCCAUCCAUGAGUACCUUGGUAAGGCGAAAGCCAUCCACUAUUAGACUGAGGACCAAUGUGGCUGGUGCUCGGGCUGUUCGGAAUUUAGGUUCAUCACUGGCAUUAAAAGUAAUAGCCGUGUCACUCCAUGGGUUUAUUGUUGCUACUUGGUAGACUUCGACAAGGCUGCGGAGUGUUCUUUUUCGCAUAUUAUUUGAUGCGAAAGUCUCGAAGACUGUUAAUACCGUACCGGUAUCCCUGGGGUGGCUUUCUAUGGCCUCCGGAAUUAGGAGAUCUUCACCAAUUUUGGCCACCUGCCGGAGUAUCCAACAUGCUCUAAGGCUGUGAGUUGGUGUGGCGCCCUCUGUACUAUGAAUUUUACAGGGUCGAUUAAGCCAUCCUUCCAAUAUGCUUCCAUGCCCUGUAGAGGGUUUUUGCUUUUUGGUGUUUAACCGGGUGUCUGGCGAAGAUGCACCCUUUUAUUUCGGACUGGGUUUGUAUUCAGGGCCGGAUUGUCCCAAAAUUUUAUUUCGGUUUUCCAGGCGCUAUCCAUCGCACAGUACUUUCGUACUAUGGACACCAAGUCAGCGAAGCAUGUAAUAUCACGGCGACUUAUGGCGUUGAGGAUUCCCUUGUCCAUGCAAUUAUUGCAGAAGAAUGAGAUUGCGUCUUCCUCGCGGCAGUCCUUGAUCCUGUUCAUAGCCAGGAGGAAUCUGGCCCAGUAAUGAUGUACUGUUUCUUUGGGUUUUUGCCUAAUUUGGGAUAGAUCGCUUAUGUUCGGGUGGGUGGGUGGAAUUAAAUCCGAAACCUGACCCGAUCUGAGACUCAGAGGCCAAGGAGAUUCCGAACUCGGAAGUUUGGAUUCUUGGAUGUUGUCCAAUGAGUCUAGCCCGUCGCCUGACUCUAAGUUCAGGUCUUGAGUGAUGUCCUCCCCUCCGCGGGUAUCCGACUUGGAGGGAUCGGGAAUCCGGACAUAACUAGUCCUUAAGAUAGAUGAAGGGUCACCGCACUGUCCCUCUACCAUAGCAAUGUGAUGGGUGACCUGGGGAGAGUUAAUCUCUCUUAGAUCGGGUUUAGGCCCAAUCUGGUCAUAAUCCGUGGCAACUCCCAGGGCGGCGACGCGAUCCAAGAGCUCGUUUAUGGAAGAGAGCUCCAUUGUAUCUAACUGCUCGGCGAGUUCCGAGAUGACAUGAAGACUGCUUUUGAUGACCCGAGAGGUCAUCGUCGGCGCAGCAGCCGAACAGGCGGUCAUAAGAAAACCGCCUAGCCGGAGAGUUUGGCCGACAGCCAAAGCUCCCUUAGCAACGGUUCCGUCUUUAAAGACGGGAUGAGGCAUCCUUCCUGAUGGCGACGGCACAGAGGAACUCUCAAUGUAAGCACCAAUAUCGGUGUCAAAACCGGCGGAUCUCGGGUAGGGGGUCCCGAACUGUGCGUCUAGGCGGAUGGUAACAGGACACAAGGGACACGAUGUUUACCCAGGUUCGGGCCCUCUCGAUGGAGGUAAAACCCUACUCCUGCUUGAUUAAUAUUGAUGAUAUGGGUAGUACAAGAGUAGAUAUACCACGAGAUCAAGGAGGCUAAACCCUAGAAGCUAGCCUAUGGUAUGAUUGUUGUUGUCCUACGGACUAAAACCCUUCGGUUUAUAUAGACACCGGAGAGGGUUAGGGUUACACAGAGUCGGUUACAAUGGUAGGAUAUCUACAUAUCCGUAUCGCCAAGCUUGCCUUCCACGCCAAGGAAAGUCCCUUCCGGACAUGGGACGAAGUCUUCAAUCUUGUAUCUUCAUAGUCCGGGAGUCCGGCUGAAGGUAUAGUCCGGCUAUCCAGACACCCCCUAAUCCAGGACUCCCUCACCCAGGUUUUCAGCCAAGAUUAUAACUAACCAUGUCGACAAUAACUCUUAAACAUUAUAGUAACUCUUAUGAGUAGAGGCCGCGGGAAAAAGCCUAGUAGUAGCGCGGAUAAAAGACUAGUAGUAGUGCGGGUGCCCGUGCUACUACUAUGGCGCUACAGCUAACUCGUAGUAGUAGCGCAGGUGCCACCCGUGCUACUAGUACGUGUGUUAGUAAUAGCGCGGAUUCUACACACGCUACUACUAACUAUGUGUAGCGCCUGUCUGUGACCCGCGCUACUACUAUUAAUUUCAAAAACCAAAAAAAAAUCUCGACCCCGUGCAUGUUGUCAAUGGUGUCAUCCAGCGACGACAGGGGUUGCCGGAGGUGUGGACGGGUAGUGGCAGACCAGAUCCGGCGAUGGCUGUUGGAGAUGGCCGGAUCCAGUGUAGAGCAAGACGACGGUGUGAGGAUCCUCUUCGCGGUCAAGGCGGAGAACUCCUGGUUGGCCAUGUCGACGACCUGUGCAGGCAUGGGCAUGGGAGGUGAGUAAAACCAAAGGGAGAGGGAGAGGAGAGGGAGAGGGAAAAAGAGAAACAAGGGAGAAAGGAAGGAGAUGGAGGGCGUAUCGGGGCUGCAUGGAGGCGAGGAGGAAGACGGGCGAGCUCUUGGACGCCAGCGAUGCGAGGAGGAAGACGUUGGGUGCCAUGGAGGAGGAGAUGUUCUUGGGCAGGAGCACCAUGGAGAGAGGGGGAAAGUGAGGGAGAGAGGAGGAAAGUGAGAGAGGGGGAAAGUGAGGGAGAGAGGAGGGAUUCGGCCGAGGAUAUGGAGAUUUCAUCUACCUCGUACUUAGUAGUAGCGAGGGGUAUAAAACCGCACUACUACUAUCAACAUAGUAGUAGCAUGGGUUUGUACCCCUCGCUACUACUAUGGCAUGUCCCGGGAGGGCAUGGUAGACACCGCUUAGUAGUAUCGAGGGUGAAAAACCCGCGCUAAUAGUAUCAACUUAGUAGUAGCGAGGGGUAAAAACCCACGCUACUAGUAAGUAGCAGUAGCGACGGUUAUAAACCCGCGCUACUAGUAAGCGUCUGCCUAUAAGCUUUUCCCUAGUAGUGGCAUAUCUAUGACAUAAUCAACUAGCGAGCAAUAAUAAGAUAUCUCAAACAACAACACGUUGUGAAAACAACCAUGAUAUAAUAUGACAAUAGUGGUAUCUCGCUAGCCCUUUCUAAGACCGCAAAACAUAAAUGCAGAGCACCUCCAAAGUUCAAGCAGCGACUAAACAUUGUAAUUCAUGGUAGAAAAGAUCUAGUCUUGAUGCACCCAACAUUAGCAACACAUAGUGCAUCAGCAUGACAACAGUGCUCUUUGGAUUUGGCACUUAUUUUAGAAGGUGAUGACACAACAUAAAAGUAAAUAGAUAGUCCCUUCGCAGAGGGAAGCAGUGAUUUGCAGCUGUGCCAGAGCUCAAAAUUUUAAAACAGAGGUAAAUGAAAUUUUGGGAAAUUGAUACGUAUCCAAUGUAUCUAUAAUUUUUUAUUGUUCCAUGCUAUAUUAUAUUAUGUUUUGGAUGUUUAAUAGGCUUAUUUAUACACUUUUAUAUUAUUUUUGGGACUAACCUAUUAACCGGAGGCCCAGCACAAAUUGCUGUUUUUGUUCCUACUUCAGUGUUUCGCAAAAAAAAGAAUAUCAAAUGGAGUGCAAACGGAAUGAAACCUUCGGGAACAUGAUUUUUGAAACAAAUGUGAUCCAGAGGACUUGGAGUCCAUGUCAAGCAGUCAACGAGGAGGGCACGAGGCAGGGGGCGCUCCUACCUCCCCCUAGGCGCGCCCUCCACCCUCAUGGGGCCCACGUUGCUCCACCGGCGUACUUCUUCCUCCUAUAUAUACCUACGUACCCCCAAACCAUCAGGGGCAUCCACGAAAACCUAAUUCCACCGCCGCAACCUUCUGUACACGUGAGAUCCCAUCUUGGGGCCUUUUCCGGCAUCCUGCCGGAGGGGGCAUUGAUCACGGAGGGCUUCUACAUCAACACCAUAGCCACUCCGAUGAUGUGUGAGUAGUUUACCUUAGACUUUUGGGUCCAUAGUUAUUAGCUAGAUGGCUUCUUCUCUCUCUUUGGAUCUCAAUACAAAGUUCUCCACGAUUCUCGUGGAGAUCUAUUCGAUGUAAUCUUCUUUUGCGGUGUGUUUGUCGGGACCGAUGAAUUAUGGAUUUAUGAUCAAGUUUAUCUAUGAACAAUAUUUGAAUAUCCUCUGAAUUCUUUUAUGUAUGAUUGGUUAUCUUUGCAAGUCUCUUCGAAUUAUCAGUUUGGUUUGGCCUACUAGAUUGAUCUUUCUUGCAACGGGAGAAGUGCCUAGCUUUGAGUUCAAUCUUGUGGUGUCGUUUCCCAGUGACAGCAGGGGCAGCAAGGCACGUAUUGUAUUGUUGCCAUCGAGGAUAACAAGAUGGGGUUUAUAUCAUAUUGCAUGAGUUUAUCUCUCUACAUCAUGUCAUCUUGCUUAAAGCGUUACUCUGUUCUUAUGAACUUAAUACUCUAGAUGCAUGUUGGAUAGCGAUCGAUGUGUGGAGUAAUAGUAGUAGAUGCAGGCAGGAGUCGGUCUACUUGUCACGGACAUGAUGCCUAUAUACAUGAUCAUACCUAGAUAUUCUCAUAACUAUGCUCAAUUCUAUCAAUUGCUCGACAGUAAUUUGUUCACCCACCGUAAUACUUAUGCUUUUGAGAGAAGCCACUAAUGAAACAUAUGGCCCCCGGGUCUAUUUUCCAUCAUAUUAAUCUUCCAACACAUAGCCUUUUCUAUUGCCCUUUUUAUUUUACUUUGCAUCUCUAUUUCUCUUUAUCAUAGAAAUACUAAAAAUAUUAUCUUAUCAUAUCUAUCAGAUCUCACUCUCGUUAGUGACCGUGAAGGGAUUGACAACCCCUUUAUCGCGUUGGUUGCGAGGUUCUUAUUUGUUUUGUGUAGGUGCGUGGGACUUGAGCGUGGCCUCCUACUGGAUUGAUACCUUUGUUCUCAAAACUGAGGGAAAUACUUACGCUACUUUGUUACAUCACCCUUUCCUCUUCAAGGCAAAAAACAACGCAAUGCUCAAGAGGUAGCAAGAAAGAUUUCUGGCGCCGUUGCCGGGGAGUUUACGCAAAAGUCAACAUACCAAGUACCCAUCACAAACUCUUAUCCCUUGCAUUACAUUAUUUGCCAUUUGCCUCUCGUUUUCCUCUCCCUCGCUUCACCCUUGCCGUUUUAUUCGCCCUCUUUUCCGCUCGCCUUUCCUUCGCCAUGUCGGAACCAAAAAGAGUUGGGGGUUCUCUCCCGAGUUUUAGUACUUUGGACGAUCCUUCUAUUCUAUCUAAACUCAUAAAUAAUGUCAUGGUAAAACCUGCCGGAGUUGUCAAUGAGAGUCUUAAUAAUUUUGAUGAAGAUGAUUCCGGAAUUUUUCGUUAUUUACUCGAUGAAUCUUUGAAAGAUGCUUGGGAUAGACUGUUAAGGAUCCGGGCUAACUAUGUGCCCCAAUACCAAAUUGUAGUUUACUUGAAGAGCUUUUAUGUUGCCCUACCUUCUUCGUUUAAGCAUGUCUUAGAUUCUAUAUUUGAAGAAGGCUUUCUUGAAGGGGAUGCCGUAGAUACUUAUGAAAAGAUGAAGACCAUAUUCGGGCACCCCAUGAAUGAGAAAAUUGAAUCUACAUCUCUUUUGCUCUCCAGUCCUUGGUUCAUGUAAAUCUGAAUCUAGCCGGCACUACCCCUUCACAAGCUGUUGCAUAGUCUUCAGCGAGGUGCGGCAUAACUUCCGUGUGAGGGGAAAUGAACUUCUCCAUGAAUACCUUCUCUCUCACCUUGAAAGCGGUAUAGUAGUAGCCUGGGUUGCACUUGAGCAAUCCAUUUUCCAUGAGAAACUUUACAACGUAGUACCUGGGUUUCAUCCAGCCCUCCAGCUUGUAAUUGAUAAUUAUUGACCGUUGAGCAACGUAGGUAGGUUCCAACCUGUUAGACUAUGUAUAGCUUCUGUACCUAUGUACGUAUAUGGUACAUAUUGUAACACAACCAUUAUAUAUAAUGAGAUAAGCCACCCCUAGAGGGUUGUGCUGGUUCCCCAAAACUUAUUGUCUUACAUGGUAUCACGCUAGGUUACGAUCGCUUCCGCUUCUAAACCCUAAUACCCGCACCGCCGCCGCAGCCGCCGCCGCCUUCACCGCCGCCGCCGCGCCACCGAUCGCGCCGCCGCCAUGUCGAGCGCUGCCACCACCGGUUCCACUGCUGCGGGCUUCCUCCCGGCCUCUCUUGCGGCUCUGCUCAACCUCCCGCUCGAUGCCGUCUCUGUUCCGGCUCCGAUCGGGACAAGGAGCAUCGGCUCCGUCUUCUCCAUGCCGCCGGCGCCCUCGCUUGGGCGUGACCUCGUGGUCCACACCGCGGCGCCGCCGUCCGCUGCGGACUCCGCAGGCAUCGUCCCGCCGCUCCUGCCGCAAGCGGAUCACACUGCCCCGCUGGCGGGGUUGGCGGCGUCCGCCCCGGCCGCGGGCCUUGCGGCGUCCGCACCGGCCGCGAGCUUUGCGGCGCCCGCCCUGGCUGCGGUCCCGCCUCCUCCCGCAUCGGCUUCGGUGCCUCCAGCUGCCUCCAUGGUGUUUGCACCCCAGGCAGCCUCCUCGAUGGGAUUGUCUUCGCCGCUGCCGUUUCACUUCGGUCAUCUCAUCACCAUCAAGCUCUCCGCCGACAACUACAUCUUCUGGCGUGCGCAGGUUCUCCCGCUCUUGGGGAGUCACUACCUGCUAGGCUACAUCGACGGAUCGCUUCCCUGCCCACCCGCGCUGGUAGACAGCAUGCACGGUCCGGUCUACAAUCCGGCCCAUCGCGUCUGGACGGGGCAGGACCAGGCGAACCUCUCCUCCAUCCAGGGGUCGCUCUCGCCGGCAGUUGUCGGCCUUGUUGUCUUCGCGAAGACGUCUCAUGAGGCCUGGACCAUCCUUGAGCACACCUUUGCAGCGCAGUCCCAGGCUCGUGUCUCUGCACUCCGUCGUCAGCUUGGAGAGUGUCAGAAGCUUGACUCCACUGCCACUGAGUUCUACAACAAGGUCAAGGGCCUCGCCGACACAUUGGCCUCCAUUGGACAGCCCCUCACCGACUCCGAGUUCAACUCGUUUAUUGUCAAUGGUCUUGAUGAGGAGUAUGAUGCCUUAGUCGAGAUCAUCAACGAGCGGGGCAACUCGACACCCAUGCUGGCACACGAGGUUUUCUCUCGGCUCCUUCUCACUGAGCAACGGGUCGAGACUCGCCGCACCAGGGGCACUGGCUCCCUCUCGGCCAACGCCGCCACCAAGGGUGGCCGCUCUUCUUCAUCACCCCGGUCUCCCUUGGGGCUGCCACCGUCGCCCUCCUCGGCCCCCCACCUACUGCGACCUUACCGGGGGCUGGCGUUCCACGUGUGUGUCAGCUUUGUGGCCGCGAUGGGCACUGGGCCUCCAAGUGUCAUAAGCGCUUCCAGCGAAGCUUCCUUGGUCUUGGCAAUGACGGCAAAGAUACACGCAACAAUGCCCGUCAGGUCGCCAUGGCUGAUCGUCCCGCGCCGCAGAAGCAACAGGGACACACUCAGUCCUACUCCAUCGAUCCACACUGGUACAUGGACUCUGGGGCGAUAGAGCAUCUAACCAGCGAGAUGGGGAAGCUUCACACUCGUGAACCCUAUCAUGGCUCCGACAAGAUCCACACCGCCAAUGGAGCAGGUAUGCACAUCUCUCAUAUUGGUCAAGCAUCUCUUCUCACUAGACAUGCCAAUAGGAGUCUUCAGCUUCGCAAUGUUCUUCGAGUUCCAUCUGUGACCCGUAAUCUUCUUUCAGUUCCUAAACUCACACGUGAUAAUAAUGUGCUUUGUGAAUUUCACCCUUUUGAUCUUUUUAUUAAGGAUCGGGGCACGAGGGACAUUCUUCUUAGUGGGCGGUUGUGCCAGGGCCUCUACCGUCUGGAGCAUCCUGGUGUCGCUCGUGUUUUCAGUGGAGUUCGGGUCUCUCCGUCACAGUGGCAUGCUCGUCUUGGUCACCCGGCCACACCUAUUGUCCGUCAUAUUUUGCGUCGUCAUGAGCUUCCUAGUUUGUCUAGUCAUAAAGAUGUAGCAGUGUGUGAUGCUUGUCAGCAGGGGAAGAGUCAUCAACUUCCUUUUUCGGAGUCCAGUCGUGAGGUGAAACAUCCUUUAGAACUUGUGUUUUCAGAUGUAUGGGGUCCUGCUCAGACUUCUGUCAGUGGUCAUAAUUACUAUAUCAGUAGUCGCUUUACCUGGCUUUACCUUAUUAAACGCAAAUCUGAUGUGUUUGAUAUUUUUGUUCAGUUUCAAAAACAUGUUGAACGUCUUCUCAAGCACAAAAUUGUUCAUGUCCAGUCAGACUGGGGGGGCGAGUAUCGCAACCUCAACUCUUUCUUUCAGUCGCUUGGGAUAGCUCAUCGUUUAGCAUGUCCACAUACACAUCAGCAGAAUGGUUCAGUCGAACGUAAGCAUCGUCAUAUUGUUGAAGCUGGUCUUACUCUUUUGGCCCAUGCAUCUAUUCCGUUUCGGUUUUGGAGUGAUGCUUUCACCAUUGCAUGCUUUCUCAUCAACCAUACUCCUACUCGUGUUUUAAACAUGAAGACUCCCAUUGAGGUUCUCCUUAAUGAACAACCUGAUUAUACCUUUCUCAAGGUAUUUGGGUGUGCUUGCUGGCCGCAUCUUCGUCCAUAUAACAAGCGCAAGCUUGAGUUUCGUUCUAAGAAGUGUGUUUUUCUUGGCUAUAGCUCUCUUCAUAAAAGUUACAAAUGUCUUCAUGUUCCCACUAAUCGUGUCUAUAUAUCUCGGGACGUCGUGUUUGAUGAGCAUGUUUUUCCCUUUGCCAACCUUCCUGUGUCCACUGUCGAACCACCAUCCCUGCAUUCAUCCUCUGUUGCUUCUGACCAAUUUGAUGAUGUUGCAUACUCUCCUUUGCUGUUACCUAACCAUCUCCACUGCUCGGUCCGUUUCGCCAGCGGCCGCCGAGUCGCCCGCGACUCGGCCCGUCACGCCGUCUUCGCCUGCGGCUCGGCCCGUCACGCCGUCUUCGCCCGCGGCUCGGGUCCUCAUGUCGCCUUCAUCAGCGGAUCGGCCUGCGACACCGGCCGCGCCACGGCCCACUAUGCCGAGCUCGCCAUCGGCCCGGUCUGUGAUGCCGGAGUCGCCAGCUGCUUCGUCUGCUCUGCCGGUUUCGCCGGUGGGUCGGCCUUCUUCGCCAACCGAGUCCGAGGCUACCGUGACUGGCUCCUCGUCACCGGCUGACUCGUCAACGUCGCCGUCCUCCAGCCCGUUGCAGGCUGCUCCGUCGACCUCGGUGGUUCCUGUGUCCCGACCACAUACAUGCAGUCGCAGUGGCAUUUUCAAACCUAAGGAACGUAAGGAUGGUACGGUUGCUUGGUUGGCUGCUUGUUUGGCUGCUGCUGUUGCGGAUCCAUCUUCUGAGCCUCGCUCAUAUCAGGCUGCCCUGCGCAUUCCACAUUGGCGAGAGGCUAUGGAGCAGGAGUUUCAUGCUCUUCUUCGUAACAAGACAUGGACUCUCGUUCCUCCACCACCACGGGUAAAUGUUAUUGAAUCAAAAUGGGUAUUCAAAGUGAAGAAGCAUUCGGAUGGAUCUAUUGAGCGUUACAAAGCGCGACUUGUUGCUCGCGGUUUUCGGCAGCGUCAUGGUCUUGACUAUGAGGACACCUUCAGUCCUGUCGUCAAGCCUACCACUAUUCGACUUCUUCUCUCCAUUGUUGUUUCUCGUGGUUGGUCACUUCGUCAACUUGAUGUGCAGAAUGCUUUUCUACAUGGAUUUUUGGAGGAAGAGGUUUAUAUGAAACAGCCGCCUGGUUUCUCUGAUCCUGAUCGUCCUGACUAUAUCUGUCGUCUUUCCAAAGCACUAUAUGGUUUGAAGCAAGCUCCUCGUGCCUGGCAUGCCUGCCUUGCCUCUGCCCUUCGUGCUCAUGGGUUUGUGCCGUCUACUGCUGACACUUCGUUAUUUCUUCUACAGAAGCCAGAAGUCACUAUGUAUCUUUUGGUAUAUGUCGAUGAUAUUAUCCUUGUCAGCUCUUCUCAGUAUGAUGCUGAUGCUCUUGUCUGCUCUCUUGGUGCUGAUUUUGCGGUCAAAGAUCUUGGGAAGCUUCACUACUUUCUUGGAGUUGAGGUCACUUCUCGUGCUACUGGUCUUGUCCUUACGCAGAAGAAGUACUCCUUGGAGUUGUUACAGAGAGCUGGCAUGCUGAAGUGCAAACCGACCACCACACCCAUGUCGUCUACCGACAAGAUAACAGCUGCUGAUGGUGAGCUUUUGUCUCCUGCGGAUGCCACAGAGUACAGGAGCAUUGUUGGUGGACUUCAGUACUUGACGAUCACGAGACCAGAUAUCUCUUAUGCUGUUAACAGGGUUUGUCAGUAUCUUCAGGCUCCCAGAGAUACUCAUUGGGCUGCUGUUAAACGCAUUCUUCGUUAUGUUCAGUUCAUCCUGACAUUUGGUAUGCAUAUUCGGCCGACUUCCUCUCGGGUCCUUUCGGCCUUCUCUGAUGUAGAUUGGGCUGGUAGCCCAGAUGACAGACGAUCCACGGGGGGUUAUGCAGUAUUCUUUGGCUCUAAUUUGAUCGCCUGGAGUGCUCGGAAACAAGCUACUGUGUCACGUAGCAGUACUGAAGCUGAGUACAAGGCUGUGGCUAAUGCUACUGCAGAGAUUAUUUGGGUGCAGUCUUUGCUUCAGGAGUUGGGUUUGUCUCAACCACAGCCUCCUAUUCUUUGGUGUGAUAACAUCGGUGCUACAUACCUUUCUGCAAAUCCAGUAUUUCAUGCCCGAAUGAAACACAUUGAAGUUGACUAUCACUUUGUACGGGAACGUGUAUCACAGAAGCAACUCCAGAUCAAGUUUAUCUCAUCUAAGGAUCAACUUGCAGACAUCUUCACUAAGCCUUUACCGCUGCCACAGUUUGAGGCUUGUAGGCGCAAUCUUACCCUUCUCAGUUCUUUAGAAAGUGGCUAAGAUUGAGGGAGGGUGUUAGACUAUGUAUAGCUUCUGUACCUAUGUACGUAUAUGGUACAUAUUGUAACACAACCAUUAUAUAUAAUGAGAUAAGCCACCCCUAAAGGGUUGUGCUGAUUCCCCAAAACUUAUUGUCUUACACAACCCCACCUCAGAGAUGAGGAAAUCAGACCUGCGCUGCAGUAAUUCCUUUGACUUCCUCAGCAGACACGGAGCGUUACACACAACAAUGCUCACCUCAGCGUCUGACCACCUGAACAUCUUCUUCAAGUAGGCCACAUUGGCGGCGAUCUUCUCCUCGCUGAGGAAUCUGACAGUAUCCAGCGUGUGCCUGAACAUCCUGAGCCACGAGGCAUGCCAAGGCCUUCGGCGCAUGCCACCAUCGCCCUGACGUGUUCUGGCUUGUUGCUCAGGACACCCCGCGCGCGGAGGGACAACUUGGUGAUAUCGCAAUCAUCUAGCCCGCAUUGCCGUAGGAGCGCGACGUUGGGUUUGACCAUCUCCUCGAUGCUGUGUUUUGGUUUUCGGUUUGCGUUUUUUCUCGCCCCUGAACGAGAUGGCCGAAAUUCGGCCAUUUCAAAAAUCUCGGUAAAAUCUCGGACGAAAUUACAAAACCAAAAUUUGAAUUUUAAACGAAAUUUGACUAAAAAUUGGCCGAAAUUCGGCCGAAUUUUUUGAAAACAAGCAGAGCAAAUGUACAGCAGUCGAACAACACUGAGGAGUACAUGUAUGCGUUACCAAACUAGCUUUGGGGAUUAAUAACUCCAAAAGAAAAGAUUGAAACAAGGAUACAGAGAGGUGAUCCAGAGUUGAGGAGUUCCCGAUGGAUUCAGCCGCAGCCCGCAGCCGGCAGAGGUCAGCAGCAGGGGCCGGUCGUAGGAACGGCGAGAACGGGGUAGGAGCCGCAUGCUCGAGCGGGGAGGCAGGUGCCGACGAGCGGAGGAGCCGCGUAUUGGCGCAUCGCCGCCGCCGCAAACACAGGGGCCGCAGGGGAUCGUGGUUAGUUUAGGGUUCACGAGUUCGGUUCGAUGCUUUUAAUCCAGGCAAACCGUGGGGAGGCCCAGAAGUUGGACUGGGCCAGAAAAAAGUUUCAAUCUGGGCCGAAAGUUUUGGCCGGCACAGACAUUUACCGGGUCGAGGCGAGAUGACCGAAAUUCGGCCGAAAAUUGUUUUUUUCGGCCGAAAAUCAAAACACAGCCUCGAUGUCAGCGCCGGCGAGGUAGCCUUGCUUGAGCACCCGGAAGAGGUUCUCCGAGGAGCCGAAUAGGAGCAGGUAGUACCGCAAAUUGGAAACAAUGGACCUGGAACAGAAGUGGGCGAAGGAGAGCGCGACGAGGCGCACGAUCUCAGUACGCGAGAGGCCGAGGCCGGUGAGCCCACGACGACGGGGGCUAGAGUUUUCUCUACUUUGGCGCAGAGGAACAACGGGUCCUUGGCGACGAGGGCGGCGACGUCGGUGCCGGAGAGGCCGAGGCCGGCGAGGAAGGAAAGGACGGCGUCGGGCUUGGACGAGGACUUGAGGUGGGAGAGCUUGGCGGAGGCCUUGAGUGCCUGGGGUCGGGUGAGGCCGAAGGUGGAGACGAGGUAGUCGUCGACGACGAAGCUAGGGUUUGGGGAAACGCCGGGCGCGGCGGCCGCGGAGAGGGGGCGGUGGAGAGGGGGGCCUGAGAGGUGGCGGGGGAAGAGAGGAGCCGCACGAGGAUGCAGCCACGGAGGCGGAGCAUGGCGGCGGCGGCGGCGGAGAGAUUGAUUCCCUAUGGAGGCGGGUGCGAAUGGGAUGGUGCUUCGGAGGCGGGGAUGCGGCGCCCCGGCGAGGCAGGUGAGGAACGGAGGAAGAGAACAGGAGGAGAGAUCGAAGAGGAUGGCACUUCGGCGGCGGCGGCGGCGCCGCCGAAGAGAUUUUCCGGUCCGCUGUGAGUGGAGAGGAAAAAUGGGAAAUGGCAGGUGCGAUGCGAAUGGAGGCUCCGCAAAUUGCAAUAUCACUGAAUCCCAGGGGUCUUUACGUCUUUCAAAAAUACAAAAUACAUUUAAAAAAACAUACAUAAUACAUUGAGCCUCAUGGAAACUUUCAUAUACACAUGGAAAAUAGAUAUCCCCUCCGUUUAAUAAUGUAGUGCAUAUAGAUUUUUGAAAGUCGGACUUUGCAAAUUAUGAUCAAAUUUAUAAAGCGAACUACUUAUACCUACAUUAUCAAAUAUAUAAAAUAUGAACCUACGUCUUAUGAUGAAUCUAAUGAUAUAUGCUUGACAUUCUAGAUGUAAAUGUUUUUCUUCACAAACUUGGUCAAAUUUUGUUAGAUUUGACUUUUCAAAAAAUCUACAUGCAAUCAUUAUGCAAUCGGUAUUAUAAGGAAAAUGACUUUGAGCGAUAAGAUUAUAUCACAAAAUAAGCUAUUAUACGACUUGUACUUAUCCUAUGAUUUUUUUCUGUAGGUAUAGUACUUCAUCCGUUUUUAUUUACUUUGCAUAUUAGAGUUGACUGAAGUCAAACUUUGUAAAGUUUGACCAAGUUUAUAGAAAAGAAUAUAAAUAUUUACCCUAACAAACGAAAAUCUGCAUCUGAGCCCGGGCUCAGAUGUUCCCGCUCAGAAAAAAAUUCAAAACAAAUUCUAGAAAAAUUCAAAUAAAUCCAAUUUUUUGUGUGGUAGAUAAUUUGAUGCGUGAGGCCCGCUUCAAAUUUCAACUCAUUUGGAUAUCUGAGGAGCUCUCGGCAAAAAAGACAAAUCGGAUCAAAACAGUUCGUGAACAAUAAACUUUUUUACAGACCCGAUUUUGUCUUUUUGCAGAGAGCUGCUCAAAUGUCCAAACGAGUUGAAAUUUGCAGCAAACCUCACGCAUCAAAUUAUCUAUCACACAAAAAAUGGAAUUUUUUUGAUUUUUUCUAGUAUUUGUUUUGAUUUUUUUCGUCGGAGCGAGUGCAGUUGAGCCCGGGAGCCAAAUUGGCUUAUAUGAUGUGAAAGUAUGUUCAAUAAUGAAUGUAAUGGUAUUGAUUUGUUAUUGUACAUGUUAAUAUUUUUGACUAUAAACUUCGUCAAAAUUUAUAAAGCUUGACUUUGACCAAAACUAAUAUGCGGAAUAAAUAAAAACGGAGGGAGUAAAUGGCUAUGUUUUUUUUUGUACGUAGUAAAUGGUUACUUUUUCUGAUUUUUUUUAAAUGGUUAUGCUUGCUAACCAAUCCAAUUCAAAUUAUAUGUCGCUCAAACGGAUGUAUCUAAUUAAUAUGGAUCGGAUGGAGCAGAAAAGUUCAUAUGGAUAUAUAUUUUCUCAAAACUUGAAAGUAUGAUUUCUACAAGUAAAAAAAAAUCAUAUGUGAACUAUGUUUGUUUUUAGCAUUUUGUGUGCGUUCAUGUUUCUUUUUCUCUCUCUUCAUUCUAGCCUCUUUUCCUCCACCUCACUCUGUUCUCACAUUGACAUUGUUGCCUUUUUCAGUGGACUCCUACCUAUCUUUUCUAACUUUUGCAAGGUGAGAAUUGAGAAGGUUAUUAUUCUUUAGUUUUAUGUGUAUAGCUAUCCUAGAGUCGAGAUCAAUUGCAUCGUGUCCACUUAUCCUCUAUAACACUAAGCUUCCUAGUUUUAAAAAGCCCACACUCAAUUAAGGUCUCCAAUUAGAAUUGGAUCAUCCGAUUUUGAACGGGUCAACAAUUUCUCAAAGCUUCAUAAUCCAAUUUUUUUAUACUAUACCAUAUGCUUCCUAAUUUUUAAGGCCUCACAAUUAAUUAAGAUAUUCAAUAUAGAUUGAUCAUCCAAUUUUGACUGGGUCAACAAUUUCUCAACCUCUCCAAUUGAAUUCUUUUAAUUCACUAUAUUCCAAAAUUUUGAAUCUCUUUCAUUCAAUUGAGGUAUUCAAUUUUGAUUUGGUUGAAGAUUUUGAGUGGGCCAAUGAUUUUCAAAUCAAUCAGCUGCAACUGACCUAUAAAAACAUAUCAAUCCCAUGCACCCUUCCACCACAUAGAAAAAAGAAACGUCACCAUGUGAUAUUGUAGUAUCAAUAUAGUACAUGCAACCACCAACGCAGAAAUUUUUCCACAUAAAUAUAGGUUGGUUAGCGGAUGACACAGUCAUCUCCCCACCCGCCUAACUUAAUAUUCCAUCAGUUAUAAAAUAUGAAGGGUAUUAAUUUUGUAGAAAGUAAAACUUCUUUAACUUUGACCAAGUUCAGAGCAAAAAUAUCAACAUCCACAAUAUUAAACAAAAAAAGUAUGGAAAUUCAUUUCGUGAUGAAUCUAAAAAUACUGAUUUAAUCUUAUGAAUUUUGAUAUAUUUCUCUCAAAUUUGAAAAAACUUAAAAGGUUUGGCUUUUCAAAAAAAUACACCUUAUAUUAUGAAACAGAGUGAUUAGUUUCUUAAGAUACCCAAUAACAUGAACGGCGCAGCAAAGCGCGCAGAACCCUUCUAGUUAGUAGUAUAUCUAAGAACAAUUAGCAUCCCAUUGAUGAUCGAUAAACCUUCUUAGUCCAGCUAGUGGUUGGUUGUCUAGAGUAUAGCUGGCCAAAUGGGCCGGUUUUUUCGGGUCGGCCCGUGAGCACGCCGGCACGGCCCACCUUGGGCCAGGCACGGCACGGGCCAAACGAGCCAGGCCCAGCACGCGGCACGCCCUAGGCCGUGCCUGGGCUGGAGGCUGGGCAUGCGGGCCGGCACGGCACGGCCCGAUUAUGUUUUUUAUAUUUGUUAUACAUUUAUAUAUGAUCCAACAUGUAAAAAUAAGCUAAAAACGCUCAAUGCGUCAAAUAAUAGGCUAAAAAUAUGCGGCCCACCGUGCUAAAUGGGCCAACGUGCCGGCUCGUUUACUAACGGGCCGUGCCUGGGCCUGGGGGCGCAGCACGCGGGCCGGCACGGCACGGCACGUAUAGUAAUCGUGCCCUGGCGGACCGUGCCGGACCAGGCACGAUUAUGAUGGGCCGGGCCAUGCCGUGCCGGGCCAGCCCGUUUGGCUAGGUAUGGUCUAGAGAUCUAUAUGGAGUCAGUUGAGAUGGGAUGGUCAGCCAAGUGGGUUGAUCAAUGCUCCUCUUAAAAUUCGAAGCCUAAAGUAGAUGUGCUACUCGAGAAAUAAAAAGACCAACGUAGACCGUACCAACAUCUAAUAUUUGACGUCACAUUUAAAUUUGAUACUAUUCAUACCCAUAAUUGUCCCUUUGCUCAUCGAAUUAUGCAUCUUAUAUAAAUGUUGUAAAUGAUCAAUUUUUAUAAUAAUUUUAGGGUUGUAGUUCGGUGCAUAGGUAGCUCAGAGGAACCAUAGUCAUCGCUUCCUCUCCAAAAAAGCUUAGGGUUCCUAUGCCUCCCGCUGGCGCAGCUGCCGGUCCACCUCGUCUCCGGUGGCCCUAGGGUCAUGGGGACACGGUGAAUCUCAUCCCUUACCAGAGGGCUUCGUUUUUAGACGUUUCUUUGAAUUUUGUUAGGGUUGUGUCUUGCUAAUUAAGGAGGGCAAGACAACGACGGCUUCCUGAAGAUUGAAUAAGAUUCUCCCCGCCUAGCCCCCGUCUCGAUGGCGCAUCUAACAUCGUCGAAGAGUGUGUGGAGGUGUAUCUCCGCCAGAUCUCGCAGGAUUCGGUAGGUGGUUUGUCUUUGGUGGAUCUACUCGGACCCGGUCUUCGUUCGUCUACGUUUGUGUGUCGCUAGAUUGGAUCCUUCCGAUCUAUGGGUCUCUUCAUCGGCGGGGGUUGCUAUUCUAGUGCGCUGGUCCUACGAGGCCUUAGCACGACAAGUUCCCGACUGUGUACUACAAUAAGUUCUGCCCGGCUCCGGGGAGGGAAGGGCGAUGACGACGGUGCGUCUUCGGCUCGUUUUAAUGCUUGUAGUCUUUGCUAGAUGGUCUAAGGAUGAAUGUGAUUUUUAUUAUUCCUAUUGUUCAUUGUAUUGUCAUGAUUGAAAAUGAAUAUAUCAAAUGAUUUCUCAUAGAAAAGAAGCUCAUAAGAACCAUUAAAAGGACAAUCGUGUGGUCUCCCUAGACUUUUUUUUAGAAAAGGAGGAAGACCCCCGGCCUCUGCAUCUGAGCGAUGCAUACAACCACUUUAUUAAUUAUUCUCAAAAGACCUUACAAAGAAAUACAACAAUAAGUCUGAAGCCAUCAUCUAGGCAACAUCUGUUGCUACUCCUAUUCAUUUGAUGAAGGGAUGCUGAUAGUCUGGGCUUAAUACCAAACAGACCUCGCAGCCAAACCUAACAUCUAAGACCUGAGUUCCCAUCCAGGACGCCUGCCGGGUAUGGGUCACCCACCGGUCCGGCACACUCCUCAACAUGGACGCCUGCCGGGUAUGAGGCCGCCGCAGCCACCUGCCACCAAUCCAUCUUCAGAGAUGUAGUGUUGCAUCUACCUUGUCCGGUCUAGCUGCCGUCGACGCCACCACGAUGCCAGACAACGCCACCAUCCUGCGCUCGUCCAUCAACACACGCCCAGCAGCAAGAUCCCGCUGCUCUAUGCCCCUGAGACCCGCCAUUGUCGACGUAUCAGAUGCAACGCCGCUCCUCCUUCGCGAACACCACCUUCUACCACUGGUCCUAUCCCCUCCACCUGUAGAUCCUCUGAACUCCCAACCGAGCCCUAGUGCCCCUGACGACACCUCCAGGAAGGUCACGACGCAAAAAGCGCCGCUGCCGCCAGAUCCGAAAAGGAUUGAAGGUUUUCACCCGGCCGGGGAUCGGGGUGGAUAGAUUGGGCCCUCAGCUGCGCCUUCAUGAAGGAAAGCGGCACCCAUGAGCGUCGCCGCCGCCGGGCCGGCUAGACUGGCCAAGGUUUUCCCCGGACCCAAAGUACACCACCAGGGCUGACCACCACCGGAGCCUGCAGCCGUAAACCACCAGGACGACGACAGAGGCAGCAGGAGAAAGGGGAACCAUUAAAAGGACAAUCGUGUGGUCUCCCUAGAUGGUCCUUGGAGGGAGCGAUGCAAUUUCAUUUCCUUUUUAUUGCAUUCUCAUGGAUCUAUGGGAUACACAGAUUUGGAAUAGCCAUGCGUUAUAUAGGUUUGGAAAAGAUGAAUGGGCAGGACAAAGCCCAUCAAGGUCCACAGUUGGACAUGGUAUUUUUCUCUUCCCUGAUCUUGUGUGGUUGUUACAUUACAACGAGGACUAGAUGCAUUCAUGAACCUGAGGAGACUAUAUACGGUGAUUAUAUCGUGGCUAUCAUAUUUACCUAUUUUACAAAGAAUGAUCGGAUAUAAUUUACUGGUACAAUCCAUUGUGUGCCUUUCACGCUUCCGUCAGUUUAAUUUCCUCACAUUUUAAGUAGUCUUGUGAAGUUGUGAUCAGGUAGCUCGCAAUCUGAAUUUCUGUAAUGAAUUUUUUUUGGUCCAACGAGUAAAACGUAGACUUGGUGACCCUCAAAAGGGAUGAUAUUUUACAUAACGAGUAAAUCAUGAUGUCCUUAGAUAUUUCUUAUGAGUAUUUCUUCUUUUCUGCGGAAAAGUUUCUUGUCUUCCGAACUCUUGGAUGUGGGCAGAACUCUUGAUGAGCCGAGGCACCCGCGGCAUGCCAUUGUGAGUCAAGUUUGCCAUUGUUUGAUGGGAAGUUUUCAAGUGCUACAUGUAGAAGGACGCUAUAGUGGCUGCAAUCUUGCUGCUAAGUGACACGUACUGUCACCCUGUUUCUAAUGAAAAAAACUGAAGAACAAUGACUCAUUUAAACAUUGUUCAAUUUUGUGGUUCAUGAGCCUUUUCUUCAAAGUUUACUUAAAAGUUGGGUUAUUAGGUAAAAAAUGGUUCCUUUCCUUUUGUGCUUGCAAUUUAUUGUCCUGACAAAAACACUUUUUAUUGCAGUGCUAAGAAAAUGCGUCUACUACUUGACUGAACUAAAUACUCUUGAUAGCAAACCCUCUCUGGGCAUAUUCGUAGAUUCAAGGUGAGGAGACAUGCCAGCAUACAGACCAGCAACAUACAUGGCACAUGUACGACGUUCUAACAAGAGCAUAAAGUUGAUUGAUUCUUGAUAGCAUCACCUGAAUAUAUCACUCACGGAUUCAUGAAUGUUCCCCGUUGCAAUGCACGGCCAUUCACCUAGUAAAGGCAAUGAUUUGUUGGUAGUAGAGGCAUCUCAUGUUUCAAAGGGUUAAACCUUAGCCGUCGUGACCCGGCUCCAUGGCUGGGUCAAUCUCGCACCUCUGUUGGUGCCGAACCCUAGGCAAAUUCCCCCAAAUCUCUUGUUGUUUCUAUUGAUUGACCGAAUGUGAGGAGCAAUAGUAGAUCAAUAACUCUCGUAUAACCGAGGGAAAAAGAAAUGAAGAGAAGUUGGCGAAAGUAUCAAGUGGUACAUCUACUUUUUAUAACAUCACAUGAAGCCGGCGAAAAGGAAAGCCGAUCAACGAAGAAACUGCAUAGGGGACCUAUCAUGAGUGAACAUUGCGUGGGCGCCAUUGGCCGCAUCUCAUCAUCUUGUUGUGUAGAAGAAGAAAUGACUGCCGAUGCUGCUGGUGCCUCCAUCUCUAUGACCUUGCCGUCCAAGCCCGCAUUAGCAACAAACACGUAGCACUAGAGCACGGGAGGAGAGUUGAUCAGGGAAAUCGCCUUUCUUGACGACAGGAGAAUUAGUGAUGGGCGACUCCACGCGACGCUGAUGUGAUUUCAGGCCACACUAAAGGAUGUCGGAGAAGGGGGCCAUAGGACGAACUCAACCGCAUCGGUAGUGGGCUUGGUGGAUAUUGUGUCGAGGGCUCGGGGACGCACUCGGUGAUGGUGGUGGACCUCGGGGAGGGGGGCCUCAUACACGUGGAUGCAGGGGAAAAGAGGGUGCACGGGCUUGAAGGCAUUACUCAUCCACCUCUUCUGGCAAAGAGAGCUCAUCGGGGCCAACCGCGUGAAGGAGGAGCUUGAGGUAGCUUGGAGGAGGCGACGACGACAACCAGAUCCAUCUGGCAAGCCAGAGUGGAGGCAUCCCACGUGGGAGCAGUGAUUUCGGUGCCUAAGCUUAGAUGCACCUGCUAUUAUGUUUGUUCAUUGCUGCAUGGAGAUUCAGGAAAUGGGGCAUGAGGUGGCAUUGCUAGGGCGUGGAAAAUCCCCAAAAUGAACUAUACAUGCAUGAAUAGUGUGAUACAUGUGGGUCUAUCGUGUAGCACACGAGGAGGGUUCGAACGAAGGACAGACGGUGCCAUCUUGGUUGGAUUCUGAUCCAUGGCACCUAAUCGUCUGCAUUCAUCUAAGUCGUGGCUCACUCUGCUGCCUGUGGCAUGACUUUGACACUUUGAAUCCGAGUCAUGGCCUAAAGAUUUGUGUAGCUCCAGUUGGGGCCUGCGGUGUAGGAUCGUCGGUACGCACACCGAAUGUCAUCCACGACCGACGUCGGCCAACAGAUUGCUAGCUUACUAGACGCUACAAGAGGUAGCGUCCUUCGUGAAGUUUGUGUGCUUCAACACCAACCAGGUCAUCCUAAGCCGUCAUGGACAACCCAUUCAUCUACGUGGUUGACUUCAACAUUGGAGACGACUUCUCAUGGUCGUUGCUCAUGUCACACCUUGCUCACCAUGGCAACAAGCUGUUUCAUGUCACGUCACUUGCCACCACAUUAAUGCACCGCGCGGAUACGCAUGCACCUACAAUCGUGCAUGGUGUCCCUCAGAGUUCACGCGCGUCCCUAGGGGCUCCCAUUCCAGUACGACGAGAAGGACCUCCUGGUCUGGGCUGGAAGUCACGUAAUGGUACCUACAACAAUCUCGAAAAGAGUAGAAGGCCUGGAUUUCGAGAGCAUCUGAGCUCGCACUUAGAAAUCUAUUUUUGUUCCCACGGUCCAUACAUAGAGAGAAACUAGAAAAGAAAAUGCAAAACACGCAUACAUGCAUGCAUGCUUCCACAAAUGGGUUACCAGAUACCUUUCUGGGGCUCUGGUGACCUCACAUUCAUUGUUGACCCCUUACGACCUCACAAUCAUGGGAGAGAUUUCAUGACCGCACACUGUCUCUAUAAAAGCCUAUCACCUCUAUGAAUCAUGUGGCUCCAUCAUUUCAAAUCCUCCGCGCGCCUAAGAUACCACUUGAGAAAUUACUAAUGGCCAACGGAAAGAAUGUCAUGGCCAUGUUGUUUCUCACCACCAUUGUGGCGGUGGCGGCCACAAGGCCAGCCGAGACCUAUGGCGCUGCGGAGGAGAACACAUUGAAGAUGGCUACCCCCAGCAAGAAAGGGGUUGACGCUACCUUAGCAGCUACACGUGUUGUUGCCGCCGAGAAGUCCAUCAAGAAGGCUGAAAGCGCCACCACACCAGAAGAGGCCGCGACUGCCAAGCAAGAUGGAGCAAAAUCUGCUUCUGCUGCAUUAAAGUACAAUGCCAUCUCUCAGCAGGCAAAUGGUAAAGGUUCUUCUACCUCCCUAGGCAGGAAAGAAGCAGCCGGUACUUUAGCCGCCGCACACUAUGCCGCCGCCGAGAAGUCCAUCAAGAAGGCCGAAACCGCCAAGACACCUGCAAAGGCCGUGGCUGCCAAGCGAGACGCAGCAAAGUCUGUUGACAAUGCAUUAAAGUAUGAUGCCAUCUCUCGGAAAGCAGCUGGUACAAGUUCUUCUACCUCCCCCAAUAGGAAAGAAGGCACCACUGAUGCUGCUAAGAUGUUCACCAAGAAGGCUGAAACCGCUACCACACCUGAAGAGGCCGCGAAUGCCAAGCAAGCUGCAGCCAAGUCUACCGCUGCUACAUCAAAGUAUGGUGUCAUUUCUCAGCAAGUAGCUGGUACAAGUUCUUCUACCUCCCCUAGCAGGAAAGAAGCUGCCGGUAC